This 53349-nucleotide long non-coding RNA is filed under the name Triticum aestivum (bread wheat). RNAcentral describes it as "long non-coding RNA (TAES_LNC007707)". The stretch from base 13441 to 13575 matches the Rfam family "MIR1120/MIR1122 microRNA precursor family". Lineage: Eukaryota; Viridiplantae; Streptophyta; Magnoliopsida; Poales; Poaceae. The record is from RNAcentral.
GGAUUGAGUGGAAAGCAACUUGGGAAGACUAGAGAUCAAGCUUCAUAUGGUGGGAGUGGAGCUACUUGAUCUCAACACAAGGGUAGGUAGUUUUCUUCUCAGAAAUGUAAGGUAGGAGUGGUAGUACUUUCUGAUGGCUCUCUCCACGAAUGAAGAGGGGGUGGAGGGGUAUUUAUAGCCUCCACACAAAAUCCAACUGUUACACACAUUUGACCAAUCUCGGUCAGACCGAAGUUGACAACUCGGUGAGACCGAAAGUUCAAAUCAUGUGAACGUUGGGAUUUUCGGUGGGACCGAAAAUACAAACUCGGUGAGUCCGAUUCGUCCAAAGACAAGAGCUUGCCAAUCUCGGUGGGACCGACUUCAUCAUCUCGGUGACACCGAUUUGAUGACAGAAGGUUACAGAAGCUUGGCAACUCAAGUUUCGGUGAGACCGAGUUAAGAAUCGGAAAAUCCGAGAUUUCUAGGGUUUGGCUUUGUGGCUGAGGUGGUUCAUCUCGGUGUGACUGGGUUUGGAAAAUCGGUGGGACCGAGAUUACUUAUGAGUGUAUUAUGGAAGUGAGAGUUGCUGAUAGUUUAGGAGAUGUAUCACUAAGCACUUUGAGCAACCAGAUCAUUAUCAUAACCUCAUCCCCUUUUAAUAGUAUUGGCUUUCCUAUAGACUCAAUGUGAUCUUGGAUCACUAAACCAAAAUGGAGUCUUGAGCUUUUGCCAAUGCUUGCCUUAGCAUUUUGAGGGGUCCACCUCUUCAGUCCUUUUGCCAUGCCAAUGUGCUUGACUUUCCUGAAACAUACUUGAUAAAAGCAUUAGUCCAACCACAAAGUAUGUUGUCAUUAAUUACCAAAACCACCCAGGGAGCAAAUGUGCUUUCAAUCUCCCCCUUUUUGGUAAUUGAUGGCAACACACAAAACAAGACAUCAAAGCUUACUGAAAGAAAGACAGAAUUAUCACUAAAGCUUUGACAAACAUGUAGUACACAGGCUCCCCCUACAAGUGUGCAAGAUUUUUAUAGAUUUUGGUUUUGGACUACCACAAGCACACAAGAGAGAAAAACAAGAUGUGCUACAUGCAGCUUGGCUAUAUGCAUCAGAGCAGAUGAAAAGAAGUGAGUGAUCAUACAUAUGUGCAUGGUGAUUUCUUGCAAACAAGUAUUGACAAGCAAGUCACCAUCAUGCACAUUCUACAAGGUGCAUAUACUUACCUUGAGGUUCCUUGGCAUUGUACCUGAAGAAAUAAACUUGGGAAAACAAGAUUAGAUAACACAAGAGUAUUUCUUCAACCAACAGCAAGAACAUCAAGAGUACCAAGCCAGGGAUGACAUGUAUAAUGAGUGUCUCAUAAAGAGCACAAGCUUGAAUCAGCAAACAUGUCUCCUGAAACUAACAGAUUUUCAAUGAACUCUGAGAGAUUUUGCUUUCCAUAAGAUAUCAAUUGUGAAGAUUCCUCUCCCUUUGAGGAAAAAGCAAAAUCAAAAGAAUGAUGCCAAAUGUAAUAACCAAUGUGGAACACGGCAAAGCUUUGAUGUGAUUCUCUCCCCCUUGAGAUAAGAUUGCUCUUCUUCUCCCCCUAAAUCUUCUCUUCUCCCCUUAAGUCCCCCUAAAUCUUCUCCCCCUUUGACAUCAAGUGCCGAAAAGGACAGCAAACUAGGAAGGUCAGGAAAGAUUAAAGGAAAGAAAUGGGAUCCUUAAGAAUCACAACAGGGUAAUAAGAACACAGUUAAGCUGCAGAAGGUGAUAUCCUGAAAGAAAUAAAUCGGUGACACCGGAUUGAUAUGGAUCGGUGUGUCCGAAAGUCAGGGACUUAGGGCAGAUCCUUUUCGGUUAGACCGAAAUAACUAAAUCGGUGACGCCGAGUUUAAUUCCAAGGAAAUACAGAAUUAAUUCAGCUCACUUUGCAAGGAAUGUUUCAAAGGAUUUGCAAUGAAUUUGUAAAUGAUUUUCAAGGAAUUGAUCAGAGCCAAAAAGAAUAUUCACAAAGACAGAAGAACAGAAAAGAAAAAGAUUCCUAGAUGAAGUUUUUUUUAAGAAGAAAACUCAAUGAGAGAACAAAAUAGAAAAUAGAAAAACUCCAAAACAUAUGUACUUCAUCUAGAUAAGGGUCGGCGACAAAGUCACCUAUGUUUGAGUAUAUUGACUUAGGAGUCAAAUGAGAACAUUUGAUCAUAGGUCAUACUCAUCAUUUAAGCUCAAAAUGGGGUUGCCAUUUUUCGAUUAAGCAUUUGAUGUGAUCACAUCUUAUGAAGCUGCUUGUACUCAUGUCUUUGAGCAAAGCUUCUUAAUGAUGUGAAGAACAUACCUUGGGCUUGUUGUUGCUUUGUUCAUGUAGGUGAACUUAAUAUAGGUGCUCAUUGAGUGUGAAGUUGGAGCAUCAUUUCAACUUGUGUAGUUCAUCUUCCUACAUGGGUUAGGCAAGCAAGGAAAUACUCAAGGAUAUCCAAGAUGACAAGAGUGAAAUACUAGAUGUAUAAGGUGUCAAAAAGGAUAUGUGGAAUUUUGUUCCUUGAACUCAACAUCCCAAAGGGCUAGAUACUUGGUCAAUGACAAGAUUACUCAUGAUUUGAGUGUGUGGUAAUCUUGUGGAAUGUAGAUCAUCCAAGUACCUGCAAGGAGUUAGAUGCAAUACAAGGGGGCAAAUGUGUCCAAGACAUAUGAUCAUCGUCAUAAGAGAAAUAUCAAGGAUUAGUCAAGUAGGCUCAUGCCUUGCAUGCAUCAAUGGAGUUUUCACUCCAAGUUUGAAGCAUCAAUGAUGUUCAACUCACUCCUUAAGCGACAAAACACUUUCUCAUCAAGUGGUUUUGUAAAGAUAUCUGCAAGUAGUUUGUCAGUACGAACAUGCUUAAGAUUGAUGUCACCCUUGGCAAUGUGAUCACGAAUAAAAUGGUGACGAACUUCAAUAUGUUUCGUGCGAGAGUGUUGCACUGGAUUGUGUCCAAUCUUAAUCGCACUCUCAUUGCCACAAAGCAAAGGAACAUGUCUCACAUGUAUCCCAUAAUCCUUAAGCGUUUGUGUCAUCCAUAGCAACUGAGCACAACAUGAACCAGCAGCUAUAUAUUCUGCUUCGGCAGUGGAUAAUGAUACCGAAUUUUGUUUCUUGGAGGACCAAGAUACAAGGGAUCGACCAAGGAAUUGACAUGUACCCGAAGUUGACUUUCUAUCAACCCUGUCACCGGCAUAGUCCGAGUCGGAAUAGCCAACAAGAUCGAAAGAUGCCCUCUUAGGAUACCAAAUGCCAAAGUUAGGUGUGUGUAUCAAAUAUCUCACAAUUCUUUUAACAGCUUUAAGAUGACAUUCUUUAGGGGCUGCUUGAUAUCGAGCACACAUGCAUACACUCAACAUUAUGUCAGGACGAGAAGCACAGAGAUAUAGUAGAGAACCAAUCAUAGAUCGGUAAACCUUUUGAUCAACAGGUUCUCCAUCUUUUGUCAAGUCAUUAUGUCCACUAGUAGGCAUGGGGGUUCUCAUACCUUUGCUUUCUUGCAUGUUGAACUUCUUGAAGAGAUCCUUGGUGUACUUUGUUUGUGAGACAAAGGUACCCUCCUUAGAUUGCUUGAUUUGCAACCCAAGGAAGAAUUUGAGUUCACUCAUCAUGGACAUCUCAUACUUCUCCGACAUGAGCUUUCCAAACUUCUCGCUAAAAUGAGGGUUAGUUGAACCAAAGAUAAUAUCAUCAACAUAUAUUUGGCACACAAAUAGUUCACCAUCAACCCUUUUCGUGAAUAGCGUUGAGUCUAUUUUUCCAAUCUCAAAUCCUUUUUCAAGAAGAAAGCUAGUUAAGCAUUUGUACCAAGCUCUAGGAGCUUGUUUAAGGCCAUAAAGAGCUUUAUGAAGUUUGUAAACAUGAUUAGGCUUUUUAGGAUUCACAAAUCCAGGAGGUUGUUUCACAAAUACUUCCUCCUCAAUUUCACCAUUUAGGAAAGCACUUUUAAUAUCCAUUUGAUAGAGAGUAAUGUCAUGGUGGUUGGCAUAAGCAAGAAGAAUGCGAAUGGACUCAAGUCUAGCAACGGGGGCAUAGGUCUCACCAUAGUCCAUACCUUCGACUUGUGUGUAACCUUGAGCUACGAGACGAGCCUUGUUGCGGAUGACUUGUCCAUCUUCAUCUUGCUUGUUCCGAAACACCCAUUUGGUUCCAAUGACGUUUUGAUCAUCCUUGGGCUUCUCUACCAAAGUCCAUACAUUGUUCCUCUCGAAGUUGUGUAGCUCUUCGUGCAUCGAGUUCACCCAAUCCGGGUCUUCAAGUGCUUCUUCUACCUUCAUAGGUUCAAGACUAGAGAUAAAUGAGUAAUGCUCACAAAAGUUAGCUAAGCGAGUUUUAGAGCAAGUAAUUCUCCCGGAGUCGAUGUCGUUCAUCAUUUGUUCCACGGGAUGAUUUUUCUUGACUCUUGCUCGGACUCGGGAUAGCUUUUGUUGUGGUUGAGGCUGAGCUUCCUCAUCAUCCUCAUCUUCCUCUUCUUCUUCUUCAUUGUUGUUGGUGUUGUCUUGAGGUGGUGGAGAAGGAGGUUGUGGUGGAUCUUCUUGUUGCACUUCCUCAUCUUGGUGAGUUCCACUUGUGGAGGCCUCCAUGUUGCCUUGAGGUUCAUCUUGCCGUGAGGUAGGGGGCUCCACAUAUGUAGAUGAGGUACUCUCCUUCACUUCCAUGGGAUGGAUCUUUCCAAUAGAUAAAUCUUGAAUGGCUUCCGAUGGGUCCUUGUCUCCUACAUCAAUAGGCAUUUGCUCUACUUGCGAGCCAUUAGAUUCAUCAAACUUCACGUCUACCGUCUCUUCAACCUUUCGGGUGAAAUUGUUGUAGACACGGUAGGUGUGAGAGUUUGAUCCAUAACCGAGGAAAAAGCCUUCAUGAGUUUUAGGAGCAAAUUUGGACCGACGAUGCUUAUCAAGGAUAUAGCAUUUUGAACCAAAGACACGAAAGUAUCCCACUUGGGGUUUGUUACCGGUGAGGAGUUCGUAUGAAGUCUUGCCGAGGAGCUUAUGAAGAUAAAGCCUGUUGAUAGCAUGACAAGCUGUCUCAACCGCUUCACCCCAAAAAUGCUUCGGUGUCUUGUAUUCAUCAAGCAUCGUUCUCGCCAUCUCUAUGAGCGUUCGGUUCUUCCUCUCAACAACUCCAUUUUGUUGAGGAGUGUACGUAGCCGAGAACUCAUGUAGAAUCCCUUCCUCAUCGAGAAAACAAUCUACAUGGGCGUUCUUGAACUCCGUUCCAUUGUCACUCCGAACUUUCUUGAUCUUCACCUCAAAUUGAUUUUGGGCCUUUCUAGCAAAGGUUUUGAAGAUCCUCUGAACCUGUGAUUUGUCAUCAAGGAAAAAUACCCACGUAAAUCUGGAAUAAUCAUCAACUAUAACUAGACCAAAAGAGUUACCACCAAGGCUUUUGUAAGCAUUGGGACCGAAGAGAUCCAUAUGAAGAAGCUCAAGCGGUCUCCUUGUGGUCAUGAUGUUCUUCACGGGAUGACUUCCACCUACUUGUUUUCCUGCCUGACAAGCACUACAAAGUCUAUCUUUGUCAAAGAGAACAUCUUUAACACCAAGAAUAUGAUCACCUUUGAUUAGCUUGUCUAGAUUACGCAUACCAACAUGUCCAAGCCUUCUAUGCCAUAACCAACCUUUAGCGGAUUUAGCAAUGAAGCAAGUUCUAGGUUGGGCUUUCUUAGUGAAAUCAACAAUAUAUAGAUCACCUCUACGGAUACCGGUAAAAACCAUGUUAUGAUUGUCACGACGAAAGACUUGGCAAUCUACUUCGGUGAAUAGCACAUUGAAUCCAAAGUCAGCUAAUCUAGACACGGAAAGUAAAUUGUAUCCAAGUGAUUCAACAAGCAUGACAUUUUGAAUAGAGCUAUCAUGAGAUAUGGCCACCUUACCAAGGCCAAGUACCUUACCCUUGGAGUUGUCUCCAAAAGUCACAUACUUGCGUGGACCAUCGUUCUUUGCAAGCUCUCGAAACAUGUCUUCGUCUCCGGUCAUGUGAUCGGUGCAUCCACUAUCAAGAAUCCACUCUUUUCCACCGGAUAUGUAGUCUCUCAGAUUCGCCAUGAGAUUGAGACUCUUCAUGAUCUUGUCUAGCUCGGUGUCCGAAUCGGAGUAAUCAUCAUCAUGCUCAUGCUCAUCAUCAUAUUGACCCAUAGAUAGUUCAUCAUCAACACCUAGGUCAAUUUGACAAUGACUUGCAUUAGUUUUGUCAAUGUGACAAUAAUCAUCGGAAUGCAAUACAAGAGCAUUUCUAAUUAGAGCAUUGAUAAGAUAAGGAUCACCCUUCUUUUUCAUGAGAUCACGAAGCUCAAAGAAGCAUUUAUCAAAGUUGGGAUCAUUGGGGUGCAUCAUAUCAAAUUCAAUAGUCUUGUAUAGAAUUUCAUCAAGACCUCUCAAAGAGCAGUCCAGAUAAAGUUCUUCCAAGAACUUCCACAUAGCAUAGGCGCACUCAAAGUUUGUGACAAGCUUAAGCAAAUUAUCGGGCAAACCUCUAAUGAUAAGAUUUACAGUUCUAAGGUUACGAAGCAAAUCAAGCUCUUCAUCCAUGGUAGGGUGCAAGGGGUCAAAUGGAGGCACAUAUGGGGUUUCAACAUAUUUGCGCAAGUUAUACAUCUUAAAGAUAAUAAGCAUUUCAAUCCUCCACGAGUUAUAGGACACUCCAUUAAGAAUAGGCACUCUAUGGCUAACACUCCCAAACGUAGACACGUCCAUCUUCCUCCAAUGGUGUGUAAACCAAAGCAAUGGAAACCAAUGCUCUGAUACCAAUUGUAGGAUCGAAGAAGGUGAGAGUGUCUAGAGAGGGGUGAUUAGACUACUCGACAAGAUAAAAAUUAUGCCUUUUGACAAAGACAAGUUUUGGCAGAUUUUGCAUAUCACACAAGUCAAGUAGCAUACUACACAUGCAAUUCUAGAGUAUGGGCAGCAGAAAGUAAAUUGCACAAGUAAUAAAGAGAAGUGGAGAAGAUCAAACGCAAUUUGGAGACACGGAGAUUUUUCUCGUGGUUCCGAUAGGUGGUGCUAUCGUCAAUCCACGUUGAUGGAGACUUCAACCCACGGAGGGUAACGGCUGCGAGAGUCCACGGAGGGCUCCACCCACGAAGGGUCCAUGAAGAAGCAACCUUGUCUAUGCCAUCAUGGCCUACGCCCACGGAGGGCUAGCCUUACUCGGGGUAGAUCUUCACGAAGUAGGCGAUCUCCUUGCCCUUACAAACUUCUUGGUUCAACUCCACAUCUCGACGGAGGCUCCCAAGCGACACCUAACCAAUCUAGGAGGCACCACCCUCCAAAAGGUAAUAGAUGGUGUUGAUGAUGAUGAACUCCUUGCUCUUGUGCUUCAAAUGAUAAUCUCCCCAACACUCAACUCUCCUCACUGAUUUGGCUGUGGUGGAAGAAAGGAUUGAGUGGAAAGCAACUUGGGAAGACUAUAGAUCAAGCUUCAUAUGGUGGGAGUGGAGCUACUUGAUCUCAACACAAGGGUAGGUAGUUUUCUUCUCAGAAAUGUAAGGUAGGAGUGGUAGUACUUUCUGAUGGCUCUCUCCACGAAUGAAGAGGGGGUGGAGGGGUAUUUAUAGCCUCCACACAAAAUCCAACCGUUACACACAUUUGACCAAUCUCGGUCAGACCGAAGUUGACAACUCGGUGAGACCGAAAGUUCAAAUCAUGUGAACGUUGGGAUUUUCGGUGGGACCGAAAAUACAAACUCGGUGAGUCCGAUUCGUCCAAAGACAAGAGCUUGCCAAUCUCGGUGGGACCGACUUCAUCAUCUCGGUGACACCGAUUUGAUGACAGAAGGUUACAGAAGCUUGGCAACUCAAGUUUCGGUGAGACCAAGUUAAGAAUCGGAAAAUCCGAGAUUUCUAGGGUUUGGCUUUGUGGCUGAGGUGGUUCAUCUCGGUGUGACUGGGUUUGGAAAAUCGGUGGGACCGAGAUUACUUAUGAGUGUAUUAUGGAAGUGAGAGUUGCUGAUAGUUUAGGAGAUGUAUCACUAAGCACUUUGAGCGACCAGAUCAUUAUCAUAACCUCAUCCCCUUUUAAUAGUAUUGGCUUUCCUAUAGACUCAAUGUGAUCUUGGAUCACUAAACCAAAAUGGAGUCUUGAGCUUUUGCCAAUGCUUGCCUUAGCAUUUUGAGGGGUCCACCUCUUCAGUCCUUUUGCCAUGCCAAUGUGCUUGACUUUCCUGAAACAUACUUGAUAAAAGCAUUAGUCCAACCACAAAGUAUGUUGUCAUUAAUUACCAAAACCACCCAGGGAGCAAAUGUGCUUUCAACUGGGUCGGUUGGAGCCGGACGCCGGCCAUGCUGGCCGGGUCCGCGCUGGAUCUCUGGGACGGGCUCGUCGCCCAAUCCGCCGGCAGCUGUGGCGGCCGGAUCGCGCCGAGUCCGGGCUCGGCCGGAGUGCGCCUCACCGGGUGGCGAGGAAGCUGUGUGUAGAAGUUCACUGGCUCUGCCAAGGCGGGCGGAGCCGGAUCCCGGCGGCUUGGCGAGCUGGUUGAGGCGGUCUUGCUGGGUGUUGGCCGCGUUGAGGAGUUCGCGCAUCCGCCCAAUGUGCUCCUUCAGCUCCUCACCCGUGAGCUGGUCCUGGCCGACUGCGGCUGCCUGGGCAGUGCGCAUGUUCUUUGUUGGGGUCUCGUAGACGGUCGGGACGGCACCAAGGGCCCGGCCGAUCACUCCUCCUCGGGCAUGCACGUCGGCGACCCGGCUUGGCUCGGCCGUGGCGGGCGUGAAUCCGUAGGCGGCAUUGCGCUCCAGCUGAGCGGCGUCCAGGCGACGCUGAGUGGCGGCGAGCAUCUCGGACAGGUCCAGCAUCUGUUGGCUCCUUUCCUCGAGCUGGGUUCGGGUCUCAGUGACGUUGGUGGCGUCGACGUCGGUGCCGAUGGGGAUGUGGAGGCUUUGCGUCGCGGCGUGCAACGGAUCGGACGGAUCGGUCCGUUCUGCUGUGGCCCUAGCUUCGGCAGCCUUCCUCGUCUUGCUCGACGAGGAGGAGGCGCCAUCGCCGGUGAUGAAGACCUCCACAUGGACGUCCAUUGUCCCGGCGGAAAUGCCGCCGCCGAGGGAGAGGGGGGAGUCGGAGUAGCUAAGCACCUCGUUGGGGUACUCAUCGGCCGCGAACGCAUCGGAGAUGCGCAGCGUGGCGAAGGAGGCGGCGAGCGCACCGACGACGUUGUCCGCCAGCGUGACGGACUUGUUGGAAUAGGAGAAGGGCCCCGUCUGAAGCAUGCUCCCGGCCAGCUCCUCGAGCUGCCCCACGGUGGGCGCCAACUGUCAUGGUGGGCGCACGGCAGAUGCCAAGGGAUGGCUAAAGAGAGGACAAGGCUUGAAAGCGCUGGUGGGCUCCAGAGGCGAGGUUGGCAUGAGCGGGCGCAGGACGCCAGACAUACCCAGGUUCGGGGCUCUCCGGAGAGAUAACACCACUAGUCCUCCCGAGUGUAGUUGGAUGUUCGAUAGUAUAAUGUUGCUCCUGGAGCUGUAUGGGGGAGGAAGGACGCUGGCCAAGGCUUGGGCUACUCCUUCUCUCUAGUGUUGCUGUUUUGGUGGCUAGUUCUGUGGUUACUUGCCUUUCUCUCAUUACAUGCCCGUAUGAGCGUGGGCUCCUGGGGGCUUUUAUAGACCAACCCCACGGGGAUACAAUGGUAAUGUUAGAAGUUGGUGGGUCCGCAUUGUUGGUGUCCGGGGACCCGGGCUGGGUCCCGCUGAGGGCUUGCGGUUCGCCGGGUUCCCCUAGGUGUGGGCCCUGCGUGCCUAGGGGGGACUGUGCACGGUCUUGCCGAUCGUCAGGGCAUGGCCGAGUCGAGUCGUGUAUAGUGGCUCUCCGUCAGGUUGCCGCUUGUUGUCUUCAGCGGUGAGGGCGGGGGCACUAUAGCCACGCCGGCCCUGGUCAGCGGGUAGGUGAGGGGCACUGUUGCCACGCUCCGGCUGACCAGAGGCAUGGGCGGGACACUGUCGCCUUGGUCAUCGUUGAUUGAAUACUCAUCCCAUCGUACGGCCUGGAUGGGACGGGAGCUGACCCAUGGCUGGACUGCGGAGCACGCCACGGGUGGAGCUGGCUUGUUGAGGAAGCUUUCGUGGUGCCGGGUUCGGCUAUCUUGCGCUAGUUGUUGAGGCCAAGUCGGCGCGUCUUGCCGGGUCGGAGAGUCUGGCCGGGUUGCGAGUCUUGACCCGGCCAAGCGCGUACCGGUUUGAGGGGCGGUGCCAGCCCCGUUGUUUUUGUUUUUUGAAGAGGAUCCGGGUUCUAUUGCCUGCCCGGGGUUCAUCCCUCCGACAAUACCGGUGCAAUUGCCUUGGCAAAGGAAUCCAGAUUUCACAAGAGAACCAAGCACAUCAAGAGAUGCUUCAAUUCCAUCUGUCAUCAAGUGUCAAAAGGGGACAUAGAGAUUUGCAAGAUACAGAUGGAUCUGAAUGUUGCAGACCCGUUGACUAAGCCUCUUCCACGAGCAAAACAUGAUCAUCACCAAAUCUCCACGGGUGUUAGAACCAUUACUAUAUAAUCUAGAUUAUUGACUCUAGUGCAAGUGGGAGACUGAAGGAAAUAUGCCCUAGAGGCAAUAAUAAAGUUAUUAUUUUUUUGCUUAAUUCAUGAUAAAUGUUUAUUAUUCAUGCUAGAAUUGUAUUAACCGGAAACUUAGUGCAUGUGUGAAUACAUAGACACAACUUAUAGUCCUUAGUAUGCCUCUACUUGACUAGCUCAUUAAUCAAAGAUGAUUAUGUUUCCUAACCAUACACAUGUGUUGUCAUUUGAUGAACGAGAUCACAUAAAGAUUGAUAUAUUGGAAAGCUAUGUUUGGAGACUAGAAAGGUUCCGAGUGGUUCGGGCAUUUUUCCGGAGUACCGGGAGGUUGCCGGAACGUCACUACAAAAAAAUACACUUCCGUCAUGAUACGUGUUUGUCGCAGUAGGUCGCGUUUUUUGUCAUGCAUGUACAUCCAUGAUGAUUUAUGACAGAAUCCAGAUAGUCAUACAUGUGCUGUCGUAGAAGUGUUCCAUGACAUUACCAAAACUAUCAUCACGGAAGUGUCCACUCCAUGACGAUAAAUCGCGCGUCACAGAAGUGCUUUCGUCAAGAAUGACCAACACGUGGCAUGCACCGUAAUGGAACGCUGUUAAGCUAUCGGGUACGGUUUUGGAUCCGAUAACCCGUUAACAACCCCAACCAAUGGAGAUUUUCCACGUGUAAAAUCAUCAUUGGCUGGAGGAAACAUGUGUUGGCUCAUCGUUGGGACAGAUGUCAUCCACUCAUUGGACAGAAGGCGCCUAUGAUACGUGGACACGUGGCACGGCCCAACAGAGGCCCAUUCCUGUGAAAAGGCCGGCCCGUUUGACUUGGGAAAAAGGUGGCGGGCCGGCCAACUGAAAGCCUGUUAACGGCCUAUUCGCAUAUAGCCUAUUUACAGCCCGCUAACCCAGGGCCCGUUACGACCUAUCCGAAUUAGGCCGAGUAGCGUCAUAUGGGUCGUCCAAUAUGAUUCUAGCCUGUUUUAACUUCCGGCCCAUGUAUGGCCCAUGACGUCUUUCGGCCCAUAUGAGGCCCUUUGUAACUCUUGGCCCAUUAAUGGCCCGUGGUGAAACUGGCCCGUAAUAAACAGUGUAUCACUUUAUACCCAUUAACGGCCCAUUAUUCCAUUGGGCCGUUUCCAGCCCAUGUUAUCUUUCAGCCUUCUCAGGGCCCAUUUAUUCUUGGGCUCAUUUCCAGCAUUCGGUUACUUAUGGCCCGUUACUGUCUUUUUCUGCUUGUGGGCCAAAUUCAGCCCGUUGUUACAGUCGGCCCAUUUGUGGCUCGUUAAUACGUUGGGCUGUUUUCAUAGCGUCAUCAAAUAUGACCUAUUAACGAUGGCCCGUUAUGGUCGGCCCAUGAACGGACGAUUCCAACUCUAGCCCGUUUGCGACCAUAAUGCGGUCUGUUAUUGGCCCAUGUUUGGCCAAUCGAUCAUACGGCCCAGAUAAGGCCCAUUGAUGAUACAGCCCAUAGAAGGCACAUUGUUUCUACGGCCUGUAGAAGGCCCAUUGUUUCUACGGCCGGUAGGAGGCAUAGUGUCACUACAGUAAAUAUGUAGCCCAUGGCUAUUGUGGCCUAGUUUUAAAAAAUAGGUUAUUGCGGCCACUAGCAAACCGCGGAAAAAGAACUGCACUGACUACAAGCAAACAAAUAAACAAGACAACAAGGAAAUAAAUUAGCAAGCAACUAACGCUAGGCUAUCACGGCUAUUACACAUAUUACAUCCACUGGGCAUCAAAGUUCGCCACCAGUGCAAAUAUAGGGAACAAAGCAGCAUAUCAUAUACACUAGUUGUCAAAGUUGGCGACCAGCGCAAAUAAAUGCCACAGCAAAACAAAUCCAGAACUGAAACCACUUCAGAAGAUCUCAAGAAACAAUAUCCUGGGUACCCAUAAUGCUGGCAAGAUGCUUAGCAAGCUUAUUAACUUUCUCUUGUUUAGCGCUUAAAUCCUCCAGCGCUUGUUGUUGCACCAGGAAGUAUGCAUAUGAAUUCUGCAGGGACUUCCUCAAUCCUUCAGCUUCAUGUCACAGCACAUCUGAUCGAUGUCUUUCAACUUGAAGAUGAGACUCAAGAAUAUGAACUGAUUCAGGUAGCGAGUUCGAAGAGCUUGUGCCAGCAGUAGUGGCCAGUAACUCGAACACUACAUCAAGACAGGACUUUUGGAUUCUCUCACUGUCGUCAAGACAGUAUUUAUCAGCUUUCUUGGAAACCAAUAGGGAUGUCUCACUAUCGUGAACCUUAUCUGCAUUACUUCCUUUACCAUUGCAUAAUGCGGUACUCAGGGGCGGACCCGGGACAAAAAUGACCCGGUGUCCCAUGUCUACCACAUGUGUAUGUCAAGUAGUAAUAUACUCCCGGUAACCCGGUGACCCAGGAGUACAUAAGAAUAAUGGCUUGUAUUUUCUUUUCGGCCUUUGGCCGGUAACCUCCUUCUUAUUUAAUGAAUGAGGCAAGUCUUUUGCCUCCGUUUAAAAAAAUAGAACAAAGUCUACAUAGAAUAUGAUAUAAGAGUCAAUAUGCUUACCAGAAAUCCAAAUAUAAGAGGUUCGCUUGAAAUAUUAGUUGAUCGUAGAAUAUGCAACAAUAGCAGAGCAUCAAAUUAUCAAAAUAAGUACGAAGGAUGCUAACACAAUGCGACAUUAGAGCUCUGAUUGCCUACAGAACAAAAGAAACAAAACCACUUAGUAAUAUAUUAAGUAUAAUUCUGCAAUAAACAGAUAUGUUAAGACAAGUACCUUUUAAAAAUAUUUUAAAGUUUUUUCAUGACCCCAAAGCGAUCAAUUACCGCUUCAUUCUUCAUUGAUAAUCUUGCCAAGUCGCCCGAAGCCGGAUCAGUGGGGAACUAAAAUUUCUGGAUGAUAUUUUUCCAUGUUUUAGUCCAUAAACUGAGCUUCUACUAUAAUUUAAGAUUUUUUCCCCAACUGUUAUUAAGAUAAUUAAAAUUUGCACAAAGAAAAGAAAGAACUAUAAAACAUAUUACUGUACUUGAACUGCUAGGUACUCCCUCCGUCCGAAAAUAAUUGUCAUCAAAAUGGAUAAAAAGGGAUAUAUCUAGAACUAAUAUACAUCUAGAUACAUCCCAUUUUAUUCAUUUUGAUGACAAGUAUUUCCAGACCGAGGGAGUAUAUAAUUAGACUUACUUGACAUUGUGCUUGUGCGUCCAGCCGGUAGGUGCUCAAGAGUAUCGCAGACUUUUCUCCAAUCUCCACUCAGUGCAUGAUAAUUCUAGAUAAUCCAAUAAUACCAAAUACAAUUAAAUUCUCUAGCCCUAUCCAGUAGCCCUAUUGCCCUAUGGUAGAAAAGCAUUCAAGAAUUGGAUUCUGGAUGUUAUAGAUGCAAGUCGCAUUGGGAAUUUGCGGCUUUGGUGCAGCAGCAGACGUACCAAUUUAGUUCCCCACUGAUCCGGCUUCCGGCGACUUGGUAAGAUUUGGCAUUCCUGACGACUUGCAGUGAGCCUGACGAAGCAGAUGAAGAGGCGGAGGCGCAGGUAUGAAUCAGAUUGAUCGAUGUGGUGUGGAGGACCUGGUGUGGCGGCGAACUGCUCGUUCGCGGCGGCCGGCGAGUCGCAUCCUUAAAGUGGGCCGCGCUAGCAGCUGUUCUCCUUACUGGGCCGCAUGGAGCAAUACCGGUGUCCCUCACUCUUUUUUACCGGUGUCCCUCACUCUUUUUUACCGGUGUCCCUCUCUGUUGGGCUCUAAGGUUACAAGGUAACGCGAUUUUUUACCCGGUGUCCUGUGCUACCUGCUGGGCCAACGUGGGCUCGCCCCUGGCGGUAGUAUUCUCCAAUAUUUUGUCUGCAUUCUAAAAGAGAAACAAGUAGACAUAUCAAAGGUUUACCAUGUUGUAUAUGAAACUCAUUUUUGUAAAUGAGUUCAGUAGUAAAGUGGACAGGAUAACAGCAUGAAACAAACAUAUAUCUAUGUACCAUGAUCACUUUAUGAUCUAUAUCAUUCUAGUUUUUGUUGCCAAAUCAAGAUAGAGACACAGUUCAAAUAAUAUUUGUUCAAGAUAAAGCAGAAUAGACAGAAUAUAAGUGUCGGAAACUAUAGAGCAAUAACAACACUUGUAAUGUGCAUGACAUGAGAACAUAAGUGUUUUUUCAAUUGAAACUGAAAUCAACAUAGAGCAGGUUACAACAGCAAACCAGUUAAAGAAACAGGUAUAAAACAUACCUGUUGCACCAUUGGAGUUUCAAUUACAUCCUUCAAAUUUGAAAAUAGUUGGUAUGAGUAAAUACUGUAAUGCAAGAGCAAACGAGUAUGAACCAUAGCUACAGAACCUGACCCGAGAACAAAUCUUCUUCUCCUUUAAGCGUUGAGUUGGGAUUCGGAGUGGUGGUCCUCGUGCUUUGGGCACUGCAGUUCCCUUACUAACUGCUCGUGUUUGGGUGCUCUGUGGUGGAGACGGUGAUGUGUCAACUGGAACUGGGUUACUAUCUGCCAGUGUUGGGGUUAGAAGGGGUGUAGCUGGUUCUCUAUCCAACUAGGUAGGGGUACAAUCUGCGAGAGUCUGGGUUAUGUGUGGUGGAUCUGGUCCUUGGGCAAGUACAACCGUGGUUCUAUCUGCAUCAAUUGGUAGCACUAUCUUUUUUGAAGACCGUGUUGUUACUCCCUUAGAUACUACCAUCACCCUCUCCAAUUCAAAUGGCUGAUAAACAAGAAAAGUAAUUGAAAGUAUAGACAUUGUAUGAUAGACAGGUGCAAUGGAUAGUGGGGAAUAAAAGAGGGCAUGAAAUAAUUCACAUUUAUGUUGUCUAACCAAACAGAAUAGCAUGACACAAUUUCACAUAUAUGAUGGCUAACUAAACAGGAUAGCAUGACACAAUUUCACAUUAUGAUGGCUAACUAAAAAAGAUGGAAAGACAUAGUUCAAAAUAUGAUGACUAUGUAAACAGGAUGACAUGAUAUAACUAUAUAAUGUGUUUAUUAAAUAGGUUGGCAUGCCAUAAUUCACAUACAUUCACGGAUAGAAUGCCAUAUAUCAAAAUAUGAUGACUGUAAACAUUAAACAGGAUGAGAUGAUAUAACUAUAUGAUGUCUUUAUUAAAUGGGUUGCCAUGCCAUAAUUCAGAUAGAUGAUGUGUAUGUACUAUGUAAACAUGAUGGCAUGAUAUAAUUCAAACAUAUGAUUUAUAUAGUAAGCAAGUAAGCAGAUGGCAAUCCAUAUAUGAUGUAAAAACUAAGCAAUGCAAGACAACAUGCAUGACAUGGGUAAUAUAACCCUGCCAAGUUUGAGCAUAGACCUCAGGGGGAAAAUAGGACUGGUCAUUGGUCUCUGAAUCCUCCUCUGAGGAGCUCUCUGUGACCAGCAAGAUGUCUGCUUCAGCAGGUAGCAUUGUCUGCUCUGAAUACCUUAUUUUAACUCCAGAUACUUCCAUCACCGCUUCAAAUGGCUGAUGCAUAGGAAGAGUAGUUGAAUAUACAAAUGUUGUCGACAAAUGGAACAUGUAAUACAAAAAAAUGAUAGCAUGAUAUAAUUCACAUACAUGAUGAUUGGCUAAACAGCAUGGCAUUUCAUAAUUCACAUAUAAUGCCUUUGCAACAAGAUAGCAUUCAUAAUUCACAUAUAUAAUGUUGUGCAACAAGAUGGCAAUGCAUAAUUCACAUAUACGGUAAUUAGACACUGAACAGGUGGCAUUCACACAAAGCAUGUCCAAACUAAUCAAGUGACAUAGCAAUUCGAGACACCAUACGCACGAUAUGAUCAACAUAACCCUGCCAAGUUAGAGCAUACACCUCAGGGGGGAAUAGGACUGGUCAUCUGUCUCUGAAUCCUCCUCUGAGGAGCUAUUCAUAACCAGUGAGAUAUGUGCUUCGUCAGAUAGCAUAGUCUGCUCUGAAGACCUUGUUUUCACUCCAGAAUUUGCCAUCACGUGUCAAAUGGUUGAUGCACACGAAGAACAGUUGAAUGUACUAACAUUGUUGACAAAUGUAAUAUGUAACGAAAAAAAGGAUGGCCUGAUAUAAUUUACAUAUAAGAUGACUGGCUAAGUAGGAUGGCAUUGCAAAAUUGACAUAUAUGAUGCCUGGCUAAACAGGAUGGCGUUGCAUAAUUCACAUAAAGGAUGAAUAAACUAAACAGAUGGCAUUCGCACAAAGGAUGUCUAAACUAAGCAGAUGACAUAUUUGAUGUAUAAAGUAAGCAAUGCAAGGCACCAUAUGCAUGAUAUAACCAACAUCAGCAUGCCAAGUUAGAGCGAAGACCUCAGGGGGUAAAUAGUAGUUGUCUUCUCCUUCUGAACCCCCCUCAGAACAGAUAUCUUCCUUUCGAUUACAAUCCGAAAUGCGUGGAGGGGGCUGCCUUUGCGCCUACCAUGGAGCGAUGUCUGCAUGAAAGUUUAUUGCCACGCAAGGCUCGUCUCUUUUGCUCUACAUGUUCAGUUCCAUUGUUUACAAUAACUGUCAUGCAUAGGAAUAAAACAUAGUGAGAUUAUGUAAGGAGAGCAUGCAGAAAUCCAGAGUGAUGGUUGCAACCUAUGGAUAGACCCAAAACCAAUAAUAGCAGGCAGAUAAUGGCUUCAGUUAAAAAAUACAGAUAAUGGCUUCUUUACUGUUUGUUUCCCACCCAACAUGAAACUCAUAGUAGAAACCGGAGAUUAACCAGAUAGUAGAUAGAUACUAUUGAUUGCGGCCCCAAUAUGUACCCCACAACCAUUUAAAAACUCAAGUUUGACCAUUAGUUUGGAGCUGACUCAGAGUCUAAUUGGUGAACAGGACGAUAAAGUAGCAUGUAAUAUUAAGCGAUGCAUAACGUAAGCAGACACUACUAGGGAAAACCUUAUACAUAGAAAUUUAGCAACAGCGUGGGUCAAAAAAGGGCGCUAGUGCUAUAUAGCAGUAGCGAUUGAAGAAAAACCGCGCUACAGAUACAACCUUAGCAGUAGCGCGUGUAGUUGCAAAAGCGCUACUACUAAUAUUCCCACUGGCAGAAUGAUAGGCUACGCAUAGAAGUAGCGGGCUUGGAAGAAACGCGCUACCGCUAGGGCAUAAUUAGCAGCGCGUUUAAGAAGAGCGCUACUACUAACGGAAAUAAAAUAAGAUGAAAAACAAAUAGAAAAGUAAAUGAAAACGGAAGAAAUAGAAAAAGGAGAAAGGAAAAAAUAAAAUGUAAAGCAAAAUAAAUGAAAAAGCGAAAAAAUGGAGGAAGGCAUCGCAGCAGCGUGUGUUUGUAAGAGGCGCUAUAGCUAACGUAGCUGCAGCGCGUGUCCUAGACCCCUGCUAUAGAAACAGAAAAGGAAAUUAAAAAAUGGAAGAAAUUUACAUAGCUAUAGCAGUAGCGCAUUUUGUAAAAACCGCUAUAGCUAUCUUAGCUAUAGCGCGUUUUACCAAACGCGCUACCGCUAAGUUUGACUUAACCAAAAAACCGUUUCCCCUCGGCCACCACUUCUCCCCCAAAUCCCUCAACCCACCCCGCGCGCCGCAGUCUCCCUGAUUCACCGUCGCCCCACUUCACCGCCGACGUCGACGCCACCAGAGCCGAGCGCCGUCGACGCCACCGGAGCCGCCCCCAACGCCACGGAGCCGCGCGGCAUCGUCAACGCCACCGGAUCCGCCAUCGACGCCACCAUAUCCUUCCUCGCCACAACUGCCUCUCUCGCCGUCACCGGAGACGCCCCUGCCUCCCUCGCCGUCACCGGAGACGCCCCUGCCUCCCUCGCCACCACUGCCUCCGUCGCCACCACCGGAGCCAUCCUCUGUAAGCCCCCACCCAUCCUCUCUCUCUCAUGCAUAGGUUAGCCAGUUUAAUUAGGUUAAUUAUCUAGGUUAGGGCAAAAAUUUAGUUAGGGCUUUGACAGAGAAGUAGUUAGGUUAACUAGUUUAAUUAGGUUAAUUAUCUAGGUUAGUGCAAAAAUUUAGUUAGGGCUUUGACAGAGAACUAGUUAGGUUAACUAGUUUAAUUAGGUUAAUUAUCCAGGUUAAUUAGUGCAAAAAUUUAUUUUAGGCUUUGACAGAGAACUAGCUGCGUUAACUAGUUUAAUUAGGGUUAAUUAUCUAGGUAAACUAGAUUAACUAACUAGGUUAAAUAGGUAGGUUAAUUAAGCUAGGUUAAGUAGAUUGGCUAGGUUAGAGGAAAAUUUUAUUUUAGAGCAUUAGGUCAGAAGGGUUAGAGAAAUGGAUUUCCUUUGCAAUUUAAUUGGGUUUUGUGUUUAGUGAGGUCAUUUUGCAAAGGUUUUUGAUUUUUGAAAAGACCACUAUUUUUCAAGGAAAAGAAUUUAGGCAAAUUUUAUUUUUCAUUGAAGUGGUCAUGUUAUAUCUUUUCAUUGAAGUUGUUUGAUUGUGCCCAAGUGGCUUUGUUGUUUCCAGGGAAUGAUGCUGAGUGGCCUAUGUUUUGCCGGAAUGUUGAUUCAUUUCUGUUCCGGCAAAUUUCAGGUUCUCGAUUUGUCCACUUUUUAGCAAAGGUCAUGCCGAAAUUUUCCGUGAAUUUCGGCAUGACUUGUGCUACAAACUAGGACAUAUCGAGUGCCCGAGAUUUGCCGCACCAGGAAGGAGUCAACAUUCCUGCAAAACAAUAGUCCUUUUUUAUGUCAUUAUUCAUUUUAUUAGGUCUAGAAUUAAUUUACUAGAUUUAAUCAUAGGAAAUGUGGCUAGCAACGAUGAAGGACAGGGUUCUGGUGAUUGCGACGACGUCUACCGGGCAGCAGACGAAUUUUUUAGCCUUACCGACGAUCAACAGAUGUUGUUGUUGGGCCCACCGGUGGCAUCGGGGACUAAGACCGACACGUAGACCGGUGCUAAGACUGAGACCGGCACUGAGAUUCAGACCGGCAUCGAGACCGGCGCUGAGACCGGUGCUGCCUCGGGGAGCGGAGCCGGUGUAGAACCGAAAGCAAAGAGGCAACGGGUUCCUAACAAACUCAGGACUACAAGACUGGUGGUCACGGAGGUGGACGACGGCAAUUUUGAGCCAAAGGUGCCCGAGGAAGCGCGCGCGUGCUACGGCAAUCAAAUAGGCUGCAUCAUACGGACAACCGCCACCAUCAACGAUGAGAAACUACAGAAGAUAGAAAAUAUGAGGAGCUCCCUCCUAAAGAAGUUUCACCAGAUAUUCUUGUUCCCGGGCCGGAAUGAGAAGGAUUAUGAAGAUCCAGACGAGGACCCGGCGAAGAAGAUAAACAAACACGCCAUGACCAAGUUUAGCGACGCGUUGGCCGCCUGGAAAAAUCGAGUGAAAGCAAAGAUCAACGAUGGGGAACCCUACUCCGAGAUUGUAAAGGAUAAUACGACAAUCACGGAAGAGCAGUUUCAAAUAUUCAAGGAGGCUUGCAAGGCCGAAGCUGCCAAAAAAAGUCUAAGUACAUGAAGGCGCUUCAAAAGAGGAACAUUGGGAGCCACCACCUCGGAAGCCAUGGUUACGGUGGAAAGAGGUCCAAAUGGGCCAAGGAGGACGCGGAAGCCGCGAGUCUGGGCAUCCCAGACCCCUUGGUGGAUUUCACCGUCCCGCAGGAGCGUGACGUCCUGAGGGCCCGACACCAUUGGGACCCAGUGAAGAAGGUUUACAAGACAACACCGGUCAUUACGGAGUUCAUGAGACUGCUGGUAAAUUUAGUUUCUGAUCAAUUCGACUGCACACGUUAGUCAUAUUUGUAAAUGAUCCUUGUGCCUUAAGCAGAGAGAGCAGCACCGGAUUGCGGCCGAAAGCGACUCGCCGUCUGAGGCAUUGGCGAAGCCCAAGUGGGACACUCCAUUCAACCGGGCGUUGAACAUAUUGAAACAACAACCGAUGGAUACUCGACCAUCGUAUGGACGCGUGCACGGUGUCGGAGACGGCGCCACGUGGAAGAAGUACUACCGUGAGACCACGGAGAAGAGAAAGGAAAGACGGAGGUUAAUUGAAGAAAACAUCAACAAGAAGGUUGAGAUGCGGUUGACAAGAAAUCAUCUCAGACAGUCGCAACAGCGGUAGCUGCCGCAAAACAGGCGAUUUCACUUGGACAAGGCAAAAUCCAGAAGAAAAAAAUGCAGAGGACUUUCCCCUUGCUAACUUCUUGGGAGCACCUGCUCCCGCACCGGCUCCCGCACCUGCUCCCGCACCGGCUCCCGCACCUGCUCCCGCACCGGCUCCCUCACCGGCUCCCGCACCGGACGUGCUCGGUGGUGCCUCCUCUUUGGCUGAGCUCGACGGCCUCACGGUAUCUAUCACACCGGCCCCCUUCAAUAUAAAUGUAUAAUCUCCCGUUUUCGUUGCCUUUCGGAUGUCUCACGUCGCAGACUUUUCUUUGCAGGCCGACGAAACACCGUGCACCAUAUUGUACACCAUCGGCGAACAGAAGAUGGACGUGGGGAAGGCGACGAUAAAGGAGCCGAAGGAACCAUUGUUCUACAGCCGGCUGAUCCCCCCGAACGCCUUCAAGGUUUCCGUGGCCAGUGUCAAACCGGGCCAUGAGAAUUUGCCUCCUCUAAUACUAGUGGGGGAUGACGACGAGACCCCGUGGCAGCUUGGUGAUUGUUGCAAUGGGUGGGUCCUAUUGUGGCCAAAGAGUCUGCUUCGUCUGGAGGUGGCCGGGAGCACACCCACGAGCACACAGCCUCAGCAAGGUAUGAACAUCAACACCCCACCUACCCAAUUAGCGUCGGGUGUCGGGUUCGGUGAUAGCGGACGGGGUAAGGAGGAGGCUCCAUUAGUCGCUGAUGACGUCGCCAUGGAUGAGGAUGAGGAUGACGAUGGCGCUGAACAGUAUGUCUAUACUGGCGCCUCCUCAGGGUUUGAGCGUCAUGAGUCAGUGCCUGAAUUACCGUCUCAACGUAUUAUUGACGACCUUCCGGUAGUAAAGAAGUCUAGGAAGAGAGCGAGGAAAGGCAAAAAAGUUGAUUCGACAAUCCAGCCGCCUUAGCAGCCUCGGCUUCAGGACCGUAUAGAUAUCCCCGAUGCGGAUAAAUGGCAUAUCCCCGGUCAACCAAUCCUACCUGAAACAGCGCUACGGGCCAGAUUUGGCAAUCUAAGGAGACUUCAUGACGAUGUGCUGCGGGUAGAGAAAGGCCUCAUCGCCUCGAAAGAUCCAGGAUACCCACUUUACGUGGUUAACAUUCCGCGGCAAAUGUUGUAUGUCGACAGCUUCCCCGCGGAUAAGUUCUUCCUCCGAUUCGAUUACAUAUUCGACAUGUUUCACGUGAAGAAGCUGGAUUUUACGUUUGUCCGCCUUUAUGCCUUGCACAUGAACUACAUCAUUGGGGUUGAGCAGAUACGUCAUAUCUGUGUCGCUGACCCGUACUACAUGCACGAGGGCUUCUUGGGAGUCUGUGCAGAGCACCGUGAAUACGCGGGAUUACAUCAUCAGUUUCAUGCUCGCCAAUAAGGACAAGGAGGCGAUUCUCGUGCCUUAUCAUCCCGUGUAAGUCAUCCGCGCUGCGAUCCUUCUUCCUUCAAUUUCAAUAAUUCAUUUGCACGGUGGAGGCUAAUUAAUUUGAGGUGUACUUAUUUUGCGCAGCGGCGGGCGCGCCGUCCUCAUCAUCCUCUACCCCCGAUUCUCCCACGCUCUUUACUUGGACUCGUCGAAGAACAUUCACAAAAAGGAUUACACCCACAUCAAAGAUGUUCUCGACAGUGCUAUGUUUUACUACCAAGCAAGGGGUGGAGAGGUUAGGGACAAGAAGAGAAGGGGCGGUAGGGACGCCUUCAGCCAUAAGACCGACUUCUGCUGCAUUCAGCAACCGAACGAUUCUCUUAAUGAUGGAUUCUAUGUCCUACACCACAUGCUGGAGUACAGACGGGAUCACCAGAACCUUCGCAUGUCACCUAGAUCUGGCGAUGCCCAUAUUCUGCAAUGGGCAAAGGACAUAGGAGAUAUCGAGGAUCAUCGACUUCGAGCUAAGUUCUAUAACAUCCAGCGCGAACUUGCCCAAAUAAUCAUGAAUGAGGUCGUCGGAAAAACAGGGAUGUUCUACGCAGAAGGACAAAUGUCGCGGGAAGACGUCCGAACAUGGAUAGCCUCUCAGUGUCUCGACAUGAAGCCUUUCACUAAGCUCGAGGACUAUCUCCCUGACAUGGAUGGAUGGCACGACAUGAUGGAGUGAUUGUCGAUAUACGACAAUGUGUCCGUUUAGUCCAUACUUUCUUUUAUGACAAAACUUUGAGUUAGGCACGGUGAAACUUUAUUUGUGAUGUAAUUAAACCGUCCUCCUCCUCGACUAGCGAAAAUCACUCUAGUUAGGGCAUUUUGGGUACGAUGAACUUUGUUUAUGCUUAUGAUAUGUUGUUUCUAUUUUUGCCAAGUCUGUCUCUUUCUGUUGCUCAACUAUAUAUGUUGCAUAUCAUCGACUCAUGUGACGAUGCAGGUGCAUAGAUCAUAGAUGGCGAAAAAGUGCUACACCAGGAGUAUAUAUACGACAAGUGGCCGGAGUGUCAGGCCCAGGUGUACCGGUUUUCGGUUUCCGAGCGUCAGGCAGUAGUUAGUUUAGGUUCAUGCUAAUGCGAGAGGGGGAUACGAACUCAUGUACUCAAAGUGAUAGCUAUUCUCGCGUAUAUCAUUGUUUAGAUGGAUGAUGAUGUAUUUGCAAGUAAUCGAGACUUGUAUCGCUAUUUUCAAGAUUGAUGACGAGAGACCACUUUGUGUUGGAUGAUGAUUAUGAUGAUGACAUGAUUUGAUGAGACUAAUUGUAUGUAUAUGCUAUGAUUACAUUUGUAUAUGGAUGAUAUGCUAAAGAUUAUUGUAUAAAUCUUAUUCAAAUACAAAACAAAUAAAAAACAAAUAUGCAGGAAAAAACAAAUAAAACUAGUAGUAGCGAGGGGGGAAAUUUAGCAGUAGCGCCGCCUUACCAGUAGCGCUUCCCUAUAAACAGCGCUACAGAUAAUAUCAGUAGCGCCCUUUUCUAAAGAGCGCUACAGCUAUUCAUGUAUAGCAGUAGCGUGGGUCAACAGGCGCUACUGCUAUACGUUAGCUGUAGCGCCUUAUUAGUAGCGCCGGUACCCGCGCUACUGAGAGGGCCAAAACCCGCGUUGCUGCUAGGCUUUUCCCUAGUAGUGAGACACGAAAGAGUGCGACCUCUCUUGCGGACCCGUGUAGUCCUUGAGGUCAUCUGCUCGGUUGAUGAUGGUAAUCCAGUUUUCAAUCCUGCCGGUGGCGGGGAAGAAGAUCUGAGGCGGCGAAAGACAGUCUGGAGGCUGGAUCCCUACUGUGCUGGACCCUUCUGCCGUUCGAGCAGCUGAGCUGGGGUGGACGACGGCGCAGUAGGAGAGGGACAAACCAUGCAACGUUUUCUUUGACAACUAUCUAUAAGAGAAGUAACUCUGUAAGGGCUCGUUUGAAUUGGAGGAUUCCAACAAUGUAGGGAUAGGAAAUAGAUAGGAAUAGGAUAGGAAUGCACGUGCAAAACGGAGAAUUUAAAAACACAGGAUAUCUGCCAAUCUGGGUGUUUGAUUCACAACAAUUGGAAGAUCACAGGAUGCAAAGAAGCAUGGUAAGAUUAAGUCAAACCACAAGAAAAUGUAUGGUUAUAAUGCUAUUAUGCUACUAUCUCUUAGUCUUGUACUUCAUGAAUAGGAAUUUGAAAAGGAGGACAAGUGAAAAUUAAAAUUCCUACAUUUUUUCUUUCAAGGAGACACUAAAGGAACAAAUCCUACAGUUUUCCUUUGCUCCAUUCCUUUGAACCAAAUUCAUGAAUAGUAGUACCAUAGGAAACUUUCCAAUUCCUAUGUUUUUCAUUCACUUUUCCUUUCAAGCACUGGUGAUUCUAGUAGGCAGGCUUGAGCAAGGAAAAGCCUACACUAAACAAAUGUUUUUGUGCUACUUCUAUUACUUUGGACCCAGGCCACUGCCCUACUAGCUCAACUCCCGCGGCCAUCGACAAAUGCACAGCUCAAACACACAGAGAUAAAUAAUGAUGGCGUUCAAGAGAGUCCAUCACGGAUAGCUAAGUUUCCUGGUACCUCACUUCUUGUCAUAUAGUAGGAUAAAAUAAUUGUAUUUCCUGUUACUACGUAUGCUCAGUGGACAAUAUAUAUAACAUGUAGAGUAAAAAAAGAUAUGCAACAAGUGUACAACCUCUUUGGCGAAGCCAUGUCGAUCUCAGCGUGAUUGGGUUGGCCGGUGAGGAUGCUCUAGCUGACUUUGCUGUCGGAGGAGGGUAAGAAGAUCUUAGGCGUCUGGAGAUGGAGCCCGAGGUACUGCUCCGCUGUGAUGGAGGGUUUCGUUGUUGGAGCAGCUCCGGUGAGUUGUACGACGCCGAGGCUGAAGCAGGACAAGAGAGACAAUGUUAACCUGAGUGGAAUUCUAAUAGCAUCUCCAAUACAUGAUGUAAAAUACAUAACCGCAAAGUGCUAGAUGUAAAAUACAUCAGCCGCUCAUCUCUGAACUUAACUGUCGAAACUGAAUUUAACUAUCAAAACUGAACUUAACUAUUGAAACUGAAUUUUGCUGUCGAAACUGAAUUUUACUGUCGAAACUGAAUGCACUAGCAAGGUGAGGCUACACGUCAGUCGAUUGACUUUUUCAUCUCUAGUCAGUCAAUUUUGCAGCCGUUGGACAUGAAAUCAAGGGCCUGCGGUUCAUCUUCAACCUCCACCCCCGUGAGCCGCCAGCCGCCGUCGGCCAAACAGCAGCCCCCAGCCGCCCGCGGCCGGCGGUGCGCCGCCUCGCCCGCCCCGAAAACACUCCCCACCACCAGUCUGCCGCCGCCCCAGCCNNNNNNNNNNNNNNNNNNNNNNNNNNNNNNNNNNNNNNNNNNNNNNNNNNNNNNNNNNNNNNNNNNNNNNNNNNNNNNNNNNNNNNNNNNNNNNNNNNNNNNNNNNNNNNNNNNNNNNNNNNNNNNNNNNNNNNNNNNNNNNNNNNNNNNNNNNNNNNNNNNNNNNNNNNNNNNNNNNNNNNNNNNNNNNNNNNNNNNNNNNNNNNNNNNNNNNNNNNNNNNNNNNNNNNNNNNNNNNNNNNNNNNNNNNNNNNNNNNNNNNNNNNNNNNNNNNNNNNNNNNNNNNNNNNNNNNNNNNNNNNNNNNNNNNNNNNNNNNNNNNNNNNNNNNNNNNNNNNNNNNNNNNNNNNNNNNNNNNNNNNNNNNNNNNNNNNNNNNNNNNNNNNNNNNNNNNNNNNNNNNNNNNNNCCCCCACCCUGGACCCUAAGAUAGAUAGUGGGGUACCUCUCCGGCGAGCCCCCCUCCCCGCUACGGUUGGUUCUUCCUUCACCCCGGCGAGCCCCCCACCCCCUGAAAAUCGACUGACCCAAAAGUCGAUUCAGUCGACUGAAGUGUAGCUAAAUCGGAGCAGCAUCGCAAGCAAGAGAAAGAGCGAGAGCAGCAGCGCGAGCAAGAGCAAUAGCAAAAGCAGACCAGGCAGGGGACCGAGAGCAAGAGCAAGAGCAGAGCAGCGCGAGCGAGAGCUAAAGCAGCAGCAGCUCCUACUGAUGUGGACGUCGCCGCCGAGGGAGCGACGCCAUGGAGGAAGUGGCCGGCGACGCCGCCGUGGAUGGAGCCGCCCCGUGUCGGCUCGGGACCGAGCGCCGGUAGCACCGUGGGAUCGAAUCAAGAAGAAAAUGUGGUGAUUAGUAUACAACCGCUUUGGUGGCGCUGAUUAGGCCGCAUCUUCAUCCGAAGAAACGGUGAAGAUGAUGCUCUUCAGAUGGUGCAGGUGAAGACGACGGUGUGGGAAUGGAGGUGGCGCGAAAGAUGAGGGGAAUGUCGGGGAAGCUCCUUGGAGGUGGAGGACGGGGUGGCUGAACCGGUGGGACGACGAGAUCGACGAUGGAUCCUCAUUCGGUAUGGUGGAUGAGGGAUGUUGAGGUGUUGUUGUGGACGACGUCGUCGGGGAAGAGGCUCCGGCUGGGUGGCGGAUGGAGGAGGGUGUGGGGCUUCGUCGUGGCUUUUCACGGCCUUGGUGUACGAAUGAGUGGGCGGAUGGGAUGGGAGUGGGGAAGACGCGCUUGUCCGAAAUGUGGGGUAAGUUAUGAAAGUACCCCCACCGAUUUGAGGUGGUUCUCGGUUCAGGGGUACCACUGGCAUUUCGCAUGUCAGGAUUUCACAGGAGGUGGGAGUUUUCGCGCGCGUUGUAAUUUUGGAAUAGCAAGGCGCGGGUUGAGAUGGAGGGAGUUGUCGGAGCACAACAAGACAAAGAUAUAUCUUAAAUAUUUCAGGCUAACAAGGCGCGGGUUGAAAUUUGCGGACAAGCCUAACGUGUACUGUACCAAAUCAAUUCGCACUACAAAUUCCAUUCAAAACUUUGAAUUCAUGUUAUGUUCAAUUAAAAUAUUUCGCUUCGUGUAUAAUGCAUGCAACCUACUACUCAAAUGAACGUUUUAGUGCAUUCCAAACGUAUAUACUACUGCUUCAAUAUGAACUAAAUUUGAAUUUGUUUCUCUAUUUGAAUAAGAUCUGCAGUAAUGAUUGUUGUGAAGUCAAAGCAUUUGAAUUUGUUUCUCUGUUUUAAUAAGAUCUACAAUCAUCAUUAUUGUCAAGUUAAACCAUCGUUUGUGUAUUAUCUUCAUAGCACACCACAUGAUUAGUCUCGAGUUACAUAUGAACUAUGUGUACUAUAUGAACUCGAACUCGAUUUUUUGAAUCCACUUUAUGUUGAUUUCAAAUCACAUUACAUUUCUAGCUCUAGCUAGAUCUUCAUAAUCUAAACCAUGUCUCAUAUGUAUAAUGUGUUUAUCACAUUAUGUAUGGUGCCCUGUCCCCUACGCCUACAAGUAUUUAGAUGUGAGUUGCAAACACCACACAUUACCACAAAUUCAAAUAAAAUGUGAGAAUCUUCGAUAUAUAGUAUUGUUUAGAUUGUUCAAUAUUUAGUUGUAAGCUGCAAACGCCACACAUUAUCACAAAUUAAAAUAACAUGUGGGAUUUUUUGAUGUACAGUAUGGUUUAGAUUGUUUGACAUUUAGCUAUGAGUUGCAAACGCCAUGCAUUAUCACACUAUGGUAUAACAUGUGCACAGCACGCGUAUCACCGCUAUAUUCAUGCAUGCAUAUGUUUAAAACACUAUGAUCUCCUAUUCAAAUAUAUGAAUCCACUUUCAUAUCAAAUUAUGAUCUUUGUUAGUCUCUUACACCCAAAAAUCCUCUAACCUUUGUAGCUACCACUAACUUUCUCUCGUGCAUGCACACGCCCUCCUCCCCCUCCCCCUCUCUCGGCAUUCUGUCCACCGGGCACAUUCAUUUUUUUCUUUAGGUCGUUCUCCCAGAGUCUCCACAACUCCUUUCCGACACACACCGAUCGAUAAACCUCUCUGGUGAUGCCUGCCUGCAACAUACACACGCACCUUCAAUCUCCUCCUUUAUGUGUCCUUGCCUCGUGUCUCUCAUAUGGUCACACACACGUGUAAACUCUCUCCCCUCUUUUCAUCGAUCUCACAACCGCACACUCCUCCCCCUAUCUAGCUAGUAGUUGGGCCUCUCGCACCACCUCCUAGCUCCAUUCUCUCUGUCUAUCCGUCUCGCUGGGCCUUAUUUGCCUCUAACAAAUGGACGUACACCGACCGAUCUCCCACUAUACAUAUAGCUAGCUAGGUCCUUAUAACUCGUUUUUACCCACGUGUCGAUCGAUCUACCUCAUUAGUUAUGUCUCUCCCUUCUUCUGACAAACAACAAUUGAUCUACCGAUCUAGUUAGGUUUGCUUACCAAACACAUGGUUCCCCUUCAUCAUCCAUGGAUGCGUCCCGACAGAUCUAUCAUGCACAGGCACACACAGAAACACAUCCCCACUCUUAUUGAUAACAUUGCAGUUCCACCCUUAGUUUGUCUAGUAGGCCUCUCCCACCAUCUUCGAGAAGCAACUCCAUCACCCAUCCAGCACUCUACCCCUCUCCCUCCCUCUCUCUCUCCUCUCUCUCUCUCUCUCUCUGUCCCAUCAUAUUUCCCGUCCUUCAGUUAUGUAUGGAUGUCGACCGAUCUCCCUCAAGACAUAGCUGUGUCUCUCCUUCUCAACACAUAUACGAGUUGUUNNNNNNNNNNNNNNNNNNNNNNNNNNNNNNNNNNNNNNNNNNNNNNNNNNNNNNNNNNNNNNNNNNNNNNNNNNNNNNNNNNNNNNNNNNNNNNNNNNNNNNNNNNNNNNNNNNNNNNNNNNNNNNNNNNNNNNNNNNNNNNNNNNNNNNNNNNNNNNNNNNNNNNNNNNNNNNNNNNNNNNNNNNNNNNNNNNNNNNNNNNNNNNNNNNNNNNNNNNNNNNNNNNNNNNNNNNNNNNNNNNNNNNNNNNNNNNNNNNNNNNNNNNNNNNNNNNNNNNNNNNNNNNNNNNNNNNNNNNNNNNNNNNNNNNNNNNNNNNNNNNNNNNNNNNNNNNNNNNNNNNNNNNNNNNNNNNNNNNNNNNNNNNNNNNNNNNNNNNNNNNNNNNNNNNNNNNNNNNNNNNNNNNNNNNNNNNAACAAAAAACACUCAUGAACGCGGUUUGUAUCUCUCACACACACUCAUGUAGGUGGGGGACGUGCACGAAGAGAAGAGGUGCAUGCAUGGCGCCCGUACUCCCGUCUCUUUCCCAACCACACCCGCGCGGGUACAUGGUAGAGCUCAUUUCUGUACGAAAAGGCAGCCCACGUGGUAAUUUGGCACAUGUACUGGUUGUCCACUUGGUGGAGGGAGGAUUGUCUACCACGGGUGAACAAACAAAUUGCGACUUGAUGUGUUAUGUUAAAAAAAGAGGCAAACCAUGUGGGGCCUACCUUAGAGGCAAGGCUCUAUACACUGGAGUACUUUUGAUGUGUCAUGUCAACUCGCAGAACGAGGAGAAGCUUGCUUAGUACGCCGUCUUCCCCGCCCACGGGCGUGGUGGCUUGCAAGAUGAGGUGAAGCUUGCUUAGUAUUGUACACCUUACGCCCGCUCCCUCGCCCACGCGCGCGGUGACUCGCAGGACAAGGAGAAAAAUUUUACUCCCUCCGUCUAGGUGAGUAAGUAAUCUUUAGGUUGUGCACCGUGACCAAGGAGGAGGGGAAAACAAGAGACCUUAAUGUUUAUUUGCUAAUUAAUAGCAUUGCAUGCAAUGAACUAACCACUGCAUGUUGUUUUUGGUAGUCUCAAGUCAUUAAAAGCAUGCACACCCCUCAUCUCUUAUUUGUUGAUAUGUGAAGAAACAAGAAACGAGGUAGAAGUUAAUACACCACGGCUAAGUGUUUUAGCAUUAUUUGGUUUUUGUAAGAUGACUUACACACCUAGACGGAGGGAGUACUACUCCCUCCAUUUACUCCUCGUCCCUACUAGUACUACCUUGGUUAUAGAGAUUAUAUCAUAUUGUUUGAUAUAUAUAUGUGUCCUUUAGUAGAUUUCGAUAUGAACUACUAGUACAUACUCCAAACACUGAUGUAUAUAGACAUAUUUUAGAGUGUAGAUUCACUCAUUUUGCUCCAUAUGUAGCACUCUCCCUCGCCCCUCGACCCUCGCCCACGUGGUGGAUGUGAAGCAAUUCAUUCGGUCUCAUAUAGCCAGAACGAUAUAUACUGCACUACCAUUAUUGCUCGACUUCCCAAAGAGGCGAAGAGCCAAUUGCAAGGUUAAUAUUUUGGAGAUGCCAAGCGUAAGGUUAUAGGAGAACGAGUAGUAGGUGUUGCGUCAUUUAUAAAUAAAGUUUUUUUUCUUCAGUGGCACGUACGCAAUAUGAUAGGUUCAUAUGGAGAGAAAAGGAAACCGCUCCACUAUAUACAUAGUCAGGACGGGCUAGCCUACACGGUUGCUUGCUGGGCUUGCUCUCUUCACACUCUCUCGCACAAAACGACUGUGGCCACAUCUCUAACAUCCCUGUGGAUCACGUCCACCGGGGGAAGGGGUGGAUUCUUAGUGUAGAUGCAGUCGCCGUAGCCGACGGCGAAAACCCACUGUCGGCACGUCCCGAUCAGGGGUCCCCGCCGUUCUCUCUCACAAAGCCGGUGAGGUUGCCUUCAUCCCUUGCUCCUACCGCGAUGCGGGAAGUUGCCGCCUCCCGCCGCCCUCCUCAAGGUUGAGCUACGUCUCGACAUCCCUCAGGUACAACUCCCUUUACAGCCGGCUGGCACCACUGCUCCAGCUGCCCACAUCACUCCAUGUGGAUAUUUCUCUACUUCUUUGCCCUGCACAUACCUCUACUGGCUUCUACAUACUGUAUUUGUGAUGAGUUUAUGUCCCAUCAACUAGGCCCUAUAAUCUUAUUCUAAUCACGCUUCUUCAAUUUCUUUGCCACAGGGAUGCUCAUCUCGAUUUUGGUGAAACUGCACAAAAUGAUCCGAUGGUCAAAAGGUUGCAAACUUCAUUUAUUAGGAAGCUUGAACGUUGCCAGCAAAUUGAAGCCUGAUUAGGGCUCAUGGUUCAAGGGCUAGGGACUGCAUGGAUUGUUUUUUUUCUUUAGCUGCCUCUAUUCCAAAAUAAGUGUCAACUUCAGUAGUAGUACAACUUUGUACUAAAGUUUGCAUAAAGUUGAGAAACUUAUUUUGGAAUGGAGGGAGUACAUAUUUGCUAUGAUCUGUCAAUCAUUGAGAUGCAAUAGCAUGCAUGUUAGUCUCCUUUGUAUUUGAUGAAAUGUUGCAACGGGCAACCUUGGAUGCAAGAUACAUGUAACAGAAGCUGGAAGCUUCAUAGCAUUGUACAAAUUUAUCUCGCUGAUAAAUUACAGUAUGUACUAUACUAGUACUUCCUCUGUUCCUAAAUAUAAGUCUCUGUAGAGAUUUCACCAUGAACCACAUGUGGAUGUAUAUAGAUGCAUUUUAAGUGUAGAUUCAUUCAUUUUGUUCCGUAUGUAGUUCACCUAGUGGAAUCUCUACAAAGACUUAUCUACUAGUAAUAGCUAGCCCCCACUACUAAGAAUUCUCUAUCCUCUCCUUGAGCCACAUCAUCAAAAUUAAUAUAGCCGUUAGAUGAACUAAAUCAGUCCAUAAUAGCCGUCUGAUCUAGACGUUGAGAGGCUCCGCACUAAGCCACAUGCAAGCAUGCAGAAAUACCAUGGCAUGCAUGUGAGUGGGUUUUAAAUCACAUCAACAUGUCUGCAUGCAAGCAUGCACCGGUAGCAUGCAUGUAAGUGAACUUUUAAGUCUCAUUAACAUGUCAAAAAGAAAAAAAAUCCCAUUAUGCAGUACGAGUUGGCUGAUCUUUUUUCCUUACGUGGGAUGAUCUAAAUGAUGAUGGGAGUUUUUUUAGUUUGGCUACCACAUUUGUCAUGCGGUUAUAGAGUUUUUUUUAGUUCUAUGAAAUCGAUAAUUUUACGCAGAUAUACGGCUGUUCCACAGCAAUGCGCGGGGACUCAUCUAGUAGUAUUUAGGAAUGGAGGGAGUACUAUGUAAAGAGUUAGGUGUCGCACGGUGUCCAGAAAAUAUGGUGAUAGUGUGAGGUGGGCCAUGUAAUCACUGAGCCUGCGUGUUUUCACUGCUCUUGCACUCCUCCGCUGUAAGAAUGGAGAAAAUUGUAAUCUAGUAGUACCUCCUUUCGCCGAAAGCGUGGGACAUCCAGUAGUCCUACCACCUCAGUAAUAAAGACCAAUGAGCCGUCAAAUCACAUAGACCCAGCAGUAGGUUGGACGGACGAAGCAACCAUCACUCUUGCGCCAGUGAGAGGUCGCGUCCGCUCUGCCCGGGCAUGAAUGCGGCACCGAUUCUUUGGAGCGGCGCUGGCCGUUUCGGGCGGGAAGCGCGCGCGGGCGAUGGAGGGGCUUUGGGUGGGCCAGGCUGGUUAGGAGCGGGCGUGGCAGCUGUCCGCCUGUCCCUACCGGACACGCUCAGAAACGAGAGGAUGCACCGACUCUCGUGGCUAAAAUCGUACACUACACACCAUCUCUCUGUAGCAGUAGGUCGAUCUGUCGCUCUCUCUAACACACACUUGUUGUUAAGCACACACACACACACACACACACACAUGCACCUUGGUCCCACUGCACCUUCUAACGUGACUUAUUACACCUAGACGGAGGGAGUAGUAAGUACGAGAUACGGUGGCACACUGACUUAGGUCGAAUACAAGUGCCCAAAAUUGUGUGCAAGUUAUAAUAAGGAUUCACUUAAAAUAGUACGUGAGCGAACAGAGGGAUCAAUUGGACAGUGUUCCCGAGCAGUAGCGAGAUGUCUGAGGUAAGAUACACCGCUGGUGCUUUUAAUUUUUCUUAUUAAUUUUUUUGUUUCACCCUAUGACUGGUGGGACCCAAUGUACUAUGUGGAGAGAGGUAAUGAUGCGGAGCAUCCCACGUUCAUCCCCAUGUACACUCCGACUAUUCUCCAAGCCCCAAGAGGACAUAUGACGAGACCUCAAACAUACGCCAUUGGACACAAGGUGAAUUCAAUCCUCUUCAAACCGUCACUUUCCGCAUAUGAGACAUGGCUACUACCUCAUGCAUGGACCUUGCAUACACUCAGGUACAACCAAGGUGACCAUGGAGAAUCCAAGGACCAAGGCCAAGCAUGGAAGAGGAGAAGGAAGAAGAAGACGGAGCGGCUGCUGGAGCCAGGCCGGACAUCCGGACCGUCGUCCGGAUCAUCCGGGCCCAGCCGGAUCAUCCGGACCCUCCCCCGGAUCGUCCGGGUAACUGCGCCGAAGACACCCGAAGGCUUCUACCGAAGUCGGAUCAUCCGGGACUCUGUCUGGAUCAUCCGGACCCCAACGCCCGGAUCAUCCGGAACCCCAUCCGGAUCAUCCGGCCUUGCCUGCGCGCAUGACUUGGGCCGAGGCCCGUGUACCCCCUUCGCCCCUCACUUACCCCUUCGUGGCAUAGCACUAUAAAUAGACCUCCUCCUCCCCACUUUGAGACUUAGCAUUGGAUUAGCUCAUAUUUGUGUGAGAGCCUUUGCUCAUCCACUUGGAUACUUCUCCUCGGAGAUCACGGCCUCUUCGGAGAAGAUCCCCCCCACGGAUUCAAGACCCCUUCUAGGGAAGAACAUCAAGGCCUCCUCUCGGAGAAGAACGGUUCCUUUGUAUCCUUACCUUUGUUGACUUUGGAUCUCGUGAAUCUCUUAUGUGUGUGGUGAUCUAGCACUUGUGUGAUUGAUUCCUUGUCGGUUGAGUGAUUCUCUCUCAUUUUCCCCGUGUUUUCCCUUUGUGCUUCCGCGUGUUCUUCGUGAUUCCCCGUAGGAUCCACUCCAAACGUGAAAGAUCGACGCUAUAGGGUUCCACCCUACAUCAUAUGAUAUCAUGAGCCACGUUGAUCCCGUUUUUGGAGCCCCUACCCUUCGUUUUCUAGCUUGAUUUUGUUGAUUUCGUCCUAAAUCCGAAAAUCCCCACCAAAAAUAGCCCCAAAAUUUUUUGUGAUUUGUUGGUUUUGAUGAUGUUUUGUUGAUUUUGAUCCGUGGAUUUGCUUGGUUUCAAGUGGAUCUAGCUUUCCCCCAAGUUUCCCCACCUUCCAUCCACGAAAUCCCUCAAAUUUUGCCUCGAAAAUCAUCCAUUUCCGCCCAAAAAUUCGUCCCCGAGAGGAAAUCCCGAGCAGUUUGACCUGCCCGGAUCAUCAGGACCUUCUCCCGGAUCAUCCGGACACCUCCUGGAUCAGCUGGACCCUCUCCCGGACGUCCGGAUAACCCACGAACCCAGAAAACAGAACCGGAGCUGACGAACCCGGAUCAUCCGGACCUAGCCCGGAUCAUCCGGACCUCCUCGGUUAACCCUGACACUGACUCGGCUGAAAUCUUGUUUUGGCCAUAACUAAUUCAUCCGUGUCCGAUUUUGACAUUCUUUAGCUCGUUUUGAAGCUAUUGACAUCCCCCAUCCCACAAAAAUACCACCAACACCAUUUGACACCAUCAUAUUUUCUGAAAUUUGGCAAGUUUGCCUAGGCCCUCCACCAUAUCAUCCGCAUUACCACCACCGACUUCCGCAACCUAACCCAUUUUGUUCCCCGUUGCAUAUGUGGUUGUUUGAGUUGUGAUUAGAGUCUCCUAAGGUGUUUCGGCUACUUAGGAACAAUUGCUUCUUCAUCAACCACCACCACCACUUCCGCAUAACCUUGCCCACCAUACAAUUCCACCCCAACUUAACCCAAUUUUGUUUGAGUUGUGGCUUGUGUCUCCUAACGUGUUUCGGCUACUUAGGGACGGCAACUUCAACUCCGACUCGUGUAUAGCCCAUCAUUCCACUUCCGCAUUGCCUAGUGCAACACCACCACCGCUUUCCGCUACCACCAUUUGACAUUUGUCAUUUGAGAUUUUGAGUUUGCGGUUUUUCCGUUUCCUAAGGUGUUUCGGCUACUUAGGGACGAGUCUCCAUCAUCUUGGUAUCUACAUCAAGAACGCCGCUACUCAUCAUCGCCGGACGGUAACCUCCAUAUCAUCUUGGUAUCGUGGUAUCCCUCCAUUGUAUAUUCCCCUUGCCAUUGCAUUGUUAACCCCUAGCCCAUUUUGCGUUACUUGCCUAUCGAGACUAGCCAUUUGAGUAUUGUCGGCAAUGUGACUUGUGCACAUUAGUGGUCUACACCAUCCAUUGCAUACAUACCAUAUCAUCUUGGUAUCAUAUCAUCCAUUGUGUCACAAGUUGGUUCCCGCAUAUACACAAUUGCUAUCUUGGUUUGUGCAUUGUGCAAAAGUGGCCAUAAAAAAAGAGAAAGAAAUAAAGCUUUUAAGCAAAGAAAAAGAGAGAGCAAAGAGCUUGUAAGCAAGUGCCAUAGCAUCAUACCACAUUGCAUAUAGGAUUGUCAUAUCCAAUCAUCUUGGAUCAUCUUAAGAGAAACACCGGGAAUCAUACAUACAUAGCAUACUUGGGAUAGAAGUUUAUCCAUUUUGCAUCUUAUAGGUUGUGCACAAGUGUCAUAUCCGCCUAUAGAGCAAUCGUGCUAGCGUCUCUCUUGAGUUGUGCAACACGAGCGUUUUCCGUGGAUUCCACAUUUUGUGCUCAUUCCUUGGUUGCGCGACCCCAUUUAUCUAUCUGUGUGUGUGUUAGCGUGUGCCACAUAUUGCUAUUGGUCCAUUUGUUUCACUUGCGAAUUUGUGAAUCUUUUUCAACAUUAUUGACUCUUGCUAACAUUUUGCAUUAAAUUUUUGUGCCACUAUCCUCACCGAGCUCCACUAUAAGCCUUACUUGUGUAGGUGUGAGAACCGACAAGGAUUGGUACCAAUAGUGUUAUUUCAUUGUCCGCAUUUGAGUGAACUUGAUUCAUCGUCAACAUCGGUCAAGGUACAUUGGUAUAAGUUCUUCUCUUUCUCCCACUCAUAUUUGCUCCAGUCUUGUGAUGGAUAGGCAAGGCAUUUCAUCUCCAGUCUACGACAACAACGACGGCAUGAAAAACUACAUCACCAAAAGGUCCACCUUCGGACUACAACGACAAAUGCAAGGCGCACAAUCAAGAUUGCAAGAGCGCAUUGAGAACAUCUCCAUCGACAUUUUCCACUCCGAAGCAAGGAAAAGGGACUACAUCGACAACAAGCUUGCCGCACAAAAGGAGGAGCCAGAUGCGAGGAUGGAAGAGAUUCGGGCCUUGAUCAAGUCUUCUUCCACUUCAUCAUCCUCAAGACGACGAUGGUCAAGCCACAAGUCUUCGGAGCGCGAAAAAGAUGCAAGUGCAAAUCGUCCUCGUCCACAUCUACAUGGCGACCACCAUCACGUUCGUGAGCAACAUCGUCAUGAAGGGCAAGUCACCUCCAAGCAACAUGUGCACGACGACGACGAACGACAUCUCCUAGGAGCUCAAGCACGACAACGACAUCAUCAUCAUGAAGAUGCUCCACAAGCGCAAGUGCACAAGUCCCAAUAAGCCCUACUUCACGCCAAGUCCAAGCUUCAUGAGCAAAAGAGAAGACCGCGAGAUGACCACCACCAAGACGGCGCUAUGGCUACAUCAACCACUUCGGCAUCUUCGCCAAGUGUUCUCAAGGCAUCUUCGCCUUUGGACGUACGGCAUCUUCGCCUACUUCCCACGAGUACGCCUACAUCAACUUCAUCAAGUCCAAGGCGACGACCUACGAGCAAGGAUGACACUUCCAUCUUUGGAAUCCCCCCAAGGAAGAUGGCCGAGCAUGGGAAACUCCCUUCGGUCAUGGAGAUGAGCUACGAGGUGCCAUAUCAUAUGGGCCUCCCACACCAAGACGGUGACAAGAAGGUCGAGCAAGGGCCAUCCCCUUCGACCACGGCGAUAGGAGUUGAGCAUGGAGACAUUUGCACCAACAUCUCUCCGACACCCACAUAUGUCGAGAUGCCCCAUUUGUCAUGUGAGAAGAGCCACCACCCCAUGAGAGAGAUGAGUGACUCCACCAUAUGUGACAUUGAGAGCAUUUCCUUUGAGAGGAUGAGUGUGACCACCACUAGCCCCACACAUGAGAGCAUGCCACACAUCCUAUGUAAGGUUGAGCGCCAUUUGAGUGACUCCACCAACCAUAUGAGUGAGAGCAUCCUUGAGAGAGUGAGUGAGCCACAACACUUAGCGAGCGAGAUAAUUGACACGGCAUGUGAGGCCACUUUGAUUUCUAACAACUUAACCUCUACUCCUAGUGUGUUUUCUUCUUUGGUGCUAGGUCUCCUACAUGACGACAUACCUAUCAUCGACGAGUCCAUCCCUCCAAUGGAGACGACGAUGGCCAUGAUGGAUGAUGAUGCACCCCCCACAUGGUUCCAUAAAGAUGAAGAUGACAACGAUAUGAUCUUCAACACCUCACCUACAACACAUGAGCGACCUUCCAAUGGUAACAUAGGUGAUGGUGCUUCUCUUGUCCCACUAGUGGACUCUCUUGACGAUGAUUGCUCCCAUGAUGUUGACCCACCUAUUCCCAUGCUUCAUGCUAGUGAGACUUCUUCAUGCCUUGACUUACCUAUUUAUGAUGAAUAUGAUGAUGAGCAUGUUGAGUUGCCUAGUUGUGAUGCUAUGCUUCAUAGGAUAUCAUGUGAAAGUUCUAUUGGUCACUUCAUGUUUGACAAUCCAUUGAACUUGUCAUAUGCUAUGAGUGAGAUCUCCCAUAUUGCAUCCCUACAAUCUCAACAUAGUAACUAUGCAUGCCCCAUUAAAAUCAAUCCCAUUUGCACUUAUGUCAUAGAUGACGAAAUGAUGGUCAUUGGCUUUUGCUUCUCUUGUGAUGAUAUUGCCAUGCUUCCUUUACAUGAUUUACGCAAUUCAUCUAAUAUGUCAUGCCAUGAUCACAUUGUUCCAAAUAUGCAUUGUUUUGGAUGUUGUCAAUAUUCUCCAUGUGAUGUUGCUACUCAUGCUCAUGAGGAGACCCCCAUAGUUUCCUCAUACAUAUUAGGAGAUCUUGAUGCAUUUCAUACUUUGCAUGAUUCCCAUGAUAGUGUACACCAUAUGCAUUCCAUGAAUAACAAUGCUCUAAAAAUACCUCAUGAUGCAUUACAUCCUUUGAGUCUCCAUUAUGACACACAUCAUAACAAACCUCUCAUGAUGGAUGACAUGUUUCUAUAUCACGCAUCUCAUUAUUUGAGCGUUGGAUAUUUUGUGCUAACAAACACACGCACGUGCGCAUCAUGAUGGAUGAUGUGUACAUCUACCACGCACACACAAUUUUCCCUUUGUCUUUGUUUUGUGUAGGUACUCACGUAUACUCGUCAACCUCUCAAUCCCAAGAGUUGACAAAACGAGCUCUUGAGAGCAACGAUGCUUUGGGAUCCCCUAGACUAUCCUUACCACCGUUCCCUUCGCGCAAGGACUACGCGCAUCUCUUCUACUUGGCUCUCAUGCGGCUAUGGGCCAUUUACCACUUGUCACCUUAUGCUCAUUUUACCGUGUUCACAUUGCAUGCUAUGCUUGCUCCUAUGCCUUUGUCAUGCAAUUGUGACCCUUGCUUGCAUCUACCCAUGAUUCAUCAUUAUGCUACUUCUAUGUGUAUUUGCAUGCUUGGUGGAGAUCCUUGUUGCUAUUGCCAUGUUUAUCAUGUGCCCCAUACUAUUGAUGCUUGUUGUGUUGGGAGAGUCAUGAUGCCACAUUGCUAUUUACAUAUGGUCUCUCGCCAAUACAUUCAUGCUAUUUUACUCACAUCUUGCUUUCAUGCUUGUGAUAUUUCAUGUGAAUUAUCCAUGCCCACUAUUUGCACACAUGACAUGCUUGCCAUGAUUCCUCCUAGUAUGUUGCAUCUUCGCACUACUAGCUUGCUUAACUUGAUUGCUAUGAUUGCUUGCUAUGUUGCAUCACCCAUGUUCCACUAUUACUUGCUUUCUUGGGUUGAUGACAUAUAUGCUCAUGCCUCUCACAUGAUAUAUCUUGAUCAUUGUCUCUUGUGUCUAUUAGUUGCCUCUUUCAUAUCCACUUGUAUUGAGUGCAACCAUACUAUGCUUAUUGAUCUUGGAGACUUUGACACAUUACUUGUGAUGCAUACGUCUUUCCUUGAGCCUCUUGUAUUUGAUUGUUCUUGCAUCAUAUGCCUCCACACUAUGAAAUGCUCCCUUGUACCUUCUUAUGAUGAGCAUGAUGCAUACACUUGUUGGGUAUCUUACCACUUGAAUGAUAGGUUUUGCAUUUCCGCUAACCUCAUUUGUUUUUCCGAGUGUUUGUCAUGUUAUUUCAUUUUGAAGGAUUCACAAGUCAUUACCGUCAUGAGACAUAUUGGUUAUGUGAAGGCAUACAUGAUGUACGACUCCAACAUCUUUGGGAACUAUCUUGAGGUGACCUCCUUCCCUUUGAGCCAUCCUCAAAUACGCAUAUUGGAUGGGUCACUCUUUCAUUGUUGUUUCCUUCUUGUUGUCUACAUGACACAUCUCGUGAACGGAGGAGCGACAUUGGAGAUUGGUUACAUGGACCUUCACAUUGAAGAGAGCUCGCACUUAUUGGAUGCACCUUCAAAAUUCCACUCAUGCCACGACAUCGAGCAUUGGUACAUCAACACUCCUUUGACACCUUGCACUCCCACAUCCAUAUUUGUUGAUUGUGCUCAUAUAUAUCAUGCUCGAUGGACAUAUCAUACUCACCGCAAGUUUGCACCCUAUGCAUGGAUUGACUCACAUUAUGAUUGCCUUGUUGCAUCUUGUAUUACCAUGUCAUCCAUGAUAUAUGAGCUUGUUCACUUCCUUAGCAAAUUUGUUGUGAUCUUCCUUGAUGGCAUAUUCAUACAUAAUGAUCAUAUUUUCCAUCAUCAAUUGCAUGAUAACAUAUACAUAUUGAGCAUCCAUUGCCAUAUUCAUGCUAUUGAUAAACUAUCUCACUAUGACAUCAUUUUGCACCGUGGUUUCAUUGAUCAUAUUUACAACACAUUUGUGUGCACAAUGAUUGCAUUUCCUCCCAUGAAUGCUUUGCAUCUCAUUCUAGAUCAUCUUGGUAAGCUUCAUGCGCUUUGUCACAACCAAUCUUGCCGCACGGACUCAUUCUUACAUGAUGGACACUUUGUGUGCGCUAACCAUUGUAUUUCCGAGUGUUGCUUGUGUUUGCUCUUUUUGCAUGUCUAUCACUCCGGCGACACCUUGGACUACGCGGAUUGCACCAUGUCUUCAACUUCGUCCAACUACAAGUCCGUCUACGACAACUGUUUCCAUGGUGAUGAGGAUCACGAUCCGAGGUCGGAUCUUUCCCAAGGGGGGAUAUGACGCGGAGCAUCCCACGUUCAUCCCCAUGUACACUCCGACUACUCUUCAAGCCCCAAGAGGACAUAUGACAAGACCUCGAACAUACGCCAUUGGACACAAGGUGAAUUCAAUCCUCUUCGAACCGUCACUUUCCGCAUAUGAGACAUGGCUACUACCUCAUGCAUGGACCUUGCAUACACUCAGGUACAACCAAGGUGACCAUGGAGAAUCCAAGGACCAAGGCCAAGCAUGGAAGAGGAUAAGGAAGAAGAAGACGGAGCGGCUGCUGGAGCCAGGCCGGACAUCCGGGCCGUCGUCCGAAUCAUCCGGGCCCAGCCGGAUCAUCCGGACCCUCCCCCGGAUCGUCCGGGUAACUGCGCCGAAGACACCCGAAGGCUUCUACCGAAGCCGGAUCAUCCGGGACUCUGUCCGGAUCAUCCGGACCCCAACGCCCGGAUCAUCCGGAACCCCGUCUGGAUCAUCCGGCCUUGCCUGCGCGCAUGACUUGGGCCGAGGCCCGUGUACCCCCUUCGCCCCUCACUUACCCCUUCGUGGCUUAGCACUAUAAAUAGACCUCCUCCUCCCCACUUUGAGACUUAGCAUUGGAUUAGCUCAUAUUUGUGUGAGAGCCUUUGCUCAUCCACUUGGAUACUUCUCCUCGGAGAUCACGGCCUCUUCGGAGAAGAUCCCCCCCACGGAUUCAAGACCCCUUCUAGGGAAGAACAUCAAGGCCUCCUCUCGGAGAAGAACGGUUCCUUUGUAUCCUUACCUUUGUUGACUUUGGAUCUCAUGAAUCUCUUAUGUGUGUGGUGAUCUAGCACUUGUGUGAUUGAUUCCUUGUCGGUUGAGUGAUUCUCUCUCAUUUUCCCCGUGUUUUCCCUUUGUGCUUCCGCGUGUUCUUCGUGAUUCCCCGUAGGAUCCACUCCAAACGUGAAAGAUCGACGCUAUAGGGUUCCACCCUACAUCAGGUAAGGUGACUAAGGCUGCAUUAUUUCUGCACCACUGUGGAUAGUGUUACCACCAAAGCCACAUGACACGAUUAUGAUUUAAAUCCCAAUGACUCCCACACACACAAAAAACACGGCAUGCUUGUCACACGAAUGCAAGAAUGUAUAGAAGGUUAUUUUCCUCUCAUUAAACAUAACAGGAGGGUUGUGUAGCUGGUUCCUGUUCGCUCAUCAAACUUGAGGUCUCGGGUUCGAUAACUACACCUGAGCAUAAUUCGUGCCAGGAGGAUUCUUUGACUGGUCAAAAUGGAUGGAUACGGAGCUAUACGAUCUCGUAGUGACCAUAUAAUCACCUCAUCACGUAUAAGCUGCAGCCUCGGCGCUUGUUUUCUAGGGUUUGCACGCUUCACACUCUCUCUCCAGUAUAUAUACACGCUGGAGCCUCAGCGCUUGUAGUUGCUCUCUUCACACUCUCUCACCCUCUCCAGAUCUAAACAAGACUUCGUUGGCCUCUCUCUCCUGUCACUGCUGGUCAAAGAGCCGGUAGGAUCUGUCCGCGGGGAAGGGAAGGAGGCUUAACAUUGUCGCCGUCGGCGAGGGAGGGAAUCCACUACCAGCGCAGCUGUUCACUUUCACCCAGCGGUGGCGCGGGAGGGCCUCCGACCCCUUCUUCUUCGCUGUCGUCCCGUCGCCCACCGAACCACACCCCAAGAACCUUAAGGCAUAAUUUACUUAUUCCACAUGCAUUGCUCUAGCUGCAUGUAUACCAUGAAUCUAGGACGUGGUUCAAAGAGGAAAGGAGUGGGGGAAAGUAGUGGGAAAUGUUGUAUAGCAUGAAUCUAGGACAUGGUUCAAAGAGGAAAAGAAGGGGGAAAGUAGUGGGGAUAGUUGUAUAGCAUGAAUCUAGGACGUGGUUUAAAGACGAAAGGAAUGGGGGAAAGUAGUGGGGAAAGUUGUAUCGCAUAAAUCUAGGACGGGGUUCAAAGAGGAAAGGAAGGGGCGAAAAUACUAGUACAGACUAGCUAUCCAGCACCUACGUUGGUCGAAAAGGGAAAACAAAGAAAACGUGGUACGCACAUCUGUAACGAACUGAUCUUUUGUUUUGGGGGACAAGGCUGUAGAGUUGGAGCAGGACUAGAUUUGUUGUGCUCACAUAGGGAAAAGUGUCUAAAGAUAACAAAACUGGGACCAACACAAAUAUGCUCCUUGGUUCUUUGUUCUUUGUUGCAACAGACUGUGCAUGACCACAGUACAUCGGUAGAUGCACAUGGUGCUGGUGCGUCCACUGUCCCGUGCAACUCUUUAGCAGUUGUUAAUCUAAGGCCCUAUUUGGUUAAAAACUCCUAGUCCCUACCUUCUUGGUUCCAGGGACUAAACAUGGACUAGAGGUUAUUAAAUGACAUGCUAAAAGACCAUGUUACCCCUAGUAAUGAACUAAUAGAGAUAAGGUGCAAUGCAUGGCAGGGGCAAUGUUGGAAAAAGACCCAAAAAGUCUCCCUCGGGGUCUUCUUUAUUUAGUCCCAAAUGCCCACUUUUUGUCCCUAAAAGUCCCUCCUGUUUGGUUUAGAUGGGACUGACACGGAGUUUUUUUAGUCCCUACACCAAAAUGUCCCUGUAAACAAACACCCUCUAAUAAUGCCGCUGAAAAAUUGAUGCAAUGCCACAGUUAAAAGCAAAUCACAUGUUUAAUGUAUUUUAUUGUUAAUAUAAUAUCUAUGUUAAUAUUAAUCAAUGCCACCAUUUGAGAAAUUCUACUGUCUUGCUUUCUUUCCCAUUUAGAUAAGGUAGAUGCUUCUUUUUGUUGGCUUCUGUGUCAUCCACCAUUAUUGACCACUAGUUGUUUCCUUUGCACCUCUGUGUAAACAGGGUUAUCUAUGUCACCUCGUUGCCAUUGUGACCUUUUGUUGCACUGCACAAAACACUUUUGUUUUAAGAGUGUUUUGUGCAGUUCAACCAAAAUGUCACACCGACAACGUUGCUUGAUUGCUUGAUCUUAGUGGAACUGCACAAGAGGAGAUCUUACUUCCUAUCCAUGUUGGCAAAUUUGGUUCAGAUCUUCUUCUUGUGAGUUGUUUGAAUUCCGCAUCAUGAGAGGUCAGUACUAGCCUUGUUUCACAUGAUUCUGCAGUGUGCUUUCAUAUGUUGUGCUACUUGUACGGUAAUGUUGCUUGAUUUUAGUGAACUGCACAAAUGGAGACAAGACUUCCAAUCUGUAUGUGCACCGUAAUAUCCCACUGAGGUAAGAUAAGGAUAUUUCACAACUGUUGGCAUGUAUUUUGCCACAUUCAUCAGAAAAUUAAUGUCAUUGUUUAGUGUUGUACUUGUGCUCCCUAAUUGACAUGCCAAAUCUUACAUUGAAGGCAAAGCUUGUCUAUUAUUGAACCAAGUGAUGAAGGGGAAGAACAAGUGGAAGAAAAACAAAAAUCAACUCCUGGUGCUCUAAUGAAGCACUGGAACUGUGAUGACACAAGUAAUGAUAUAAUUUUGCAUCUUAAUUUAUUGCUAUGGCUGGAAUGAGCAAUUGUUUUGCCACUGAUUUGAAGCCACUCUUAAUGUAAUAUGUAAUUAUCUCUACUUGUGCAAACAGGGAUCUUCUUUGAAGAUACCAUAUAUUUUAGUGGAACUGCACAAUAAGAUGUUGGAAACAUUAAACUAAUCGAGGAGUAUAUAGUAAGCAUGGCCACCAUAGUAGAUAGCAACAGAUGGUUCCGGAGAAGUGCUUCAUCUGUAUGCUCUACACAAUAAGCCUCCUGACAAAGGUUGGCACUCGCCCACUGAUUUCAUCCAUAUGAUUGAGCCUUGUCAUCUCUGUUGGUGUUGUGCUAUUGUUUAGAUACUGUCAUGGAAAAGUGGUAUUGUCCUUGAGAAGUGCUUCAUCUGUGUUGUUUUAAAUAUUUCCUUUCCUUUUUUUCGAGCAAACAGGGAUGGUAGCAUUUAGUUGUCCUCUUGUCUUUGCACAACAGGAUAAUCUUCCUCUGAAGAAGAAUAUGGAGUACAUGAAGUGACUAGUUCCGAUUAUGCCAAGAUGAAGAAGCCAUGUCUAUCUUCUCAUCAGAAGGAGCAGUUGAAGGAUGGUUACAUUACUCCCCACAAGACCAAACUAACUUCAUCUCAGAAGGACUGACAAAUCUCCAUUUUUUUUGUUGUGAUGCACGAGUACAAUGUUGUUCUAGGAUUCUUUCUAGCGAGUUCUACAUGGACCAUGUAGGUGCCUGUUUAAACUGUCAAUUCAUAGUACAAUUUGCUUUAUACUAAUCACUUUUUUUGUAUUUGUGCAAAUAGGGGUGCUCAUCUUGAUUUCAAUGGGAACUGCACAAAAUGUUCAUGAAUACAUUGAAUCAUUCAUUUCCACCACAAGAAAGGAGUUGCCGAUAAGUUCAAGGCGUUGCAACAUAUAAGGGUGAAAUCAUACAAGCUACGCGCGCCCAAGGUGGAACUGCACAAAAAGAAUAGCUGGUUUAUUUAGCACUAGGUGCCAUGUCAAUGUCCGAACUGACGGCAAACUCUGCCCAUUCCACAAUCGUAGGCAUUUGAUAUUUUGGAAUGGGACAACCUUGUCAAAUUUUUCUCAUUGAUUUUAGCAAGAAGACAUGCGUUUGAUAUUUUCGAAUGGGACGCCCUUUGUUGUCAGCAGCGUCGAUCAAUUUUUUCUUUAUUCUUUAGUUGUGAAGUAAAUAUUGCCUCUAACAUGUGAGUCACUGAGAUGCAUAAUCAUCGAUUGUUUUGAAUGUUCUCUAUGAAUUGCCAGUCCUGUGUGUUUGAUUGCAAUGUACAGAAACGCUAAAAAGCUGCUCAAACUCUUUGUACUCCUUCUGUUCCUUUUUACUUCGCACAUUGUGAAAGUGCAUACUUUUUUCUAUAAGAUUGGUCAAAGUAGAGAUACUUUGACUGCAGACAAAACUUGUACGCAGACUAGAAAGGACCGGAGGGAGUACAUGUGAAACUACUGCAAACGAGGUGAUCACCCUGGGUAUAAUGCUACUACGUAUUGUUUUGCAUGUUCAUCCAAUGCCAGUGAUACAGGAAUUCGAACUAAUCGAAAUAAAUUCAUGAAGGAAAUAUGCCAUAGAGGCAAUAAUAAAGUUAUUAUUUAUUUCCUCAUAUCAUGAUAAAUGUUUAUUAUUCAUACUAGAAUUGUAUUAACCGGAAACAUAAUACAUGUGUGAAUACAUAGACAAACAUAUAGUCACUAGUAUGCCUCUACUUGACUAGCUCAUUAAUCGAAGAUGGUUAUGUUUCCUAACCAUUGACAUGUGUUGUCAUUUGAUUAGUGGGAUCACAUCAUUAGAAGAAUGAAGUGAUUGACAUGACCCAUUCCGUUAGCCUAGCACUUGAUCGUUUAGUAUACUGCUAUUGCUUUCUUCAUGACUUAUGCAUGUUCCUGUAACUAUGAGAAUUAUGCAACUCCCGUUUACCGGAGGAACACUUUGGGUACUACCAAACGUCACAACGUAACUGGGUGAUUACAAAGGAGUACUAUAGGUGUCUCCGAAAGUACAUGUUGAGUUGGCGUAUUUCGAGAUUAGGUUUUGUCACUCCGAUUGUCGGAGAGGUAUCUCUGGGCCCUCUCGGUAAUGCACAUCACUAUAAGCCUUGCAAGCAAUGUGACCAAUGAGUUGGUUACGGGAUGAUGCAUUACAUAACGAGUAAAGAGACUUGCAGGUAAUGAGAUUGAACUAGGUAUUGGAUACCGACAAUCGAAUCUCGGACAAGUAACAUACCGAUGACAAAGGGAACAACGUAUGUUGUUAUGCGGUUUGACCGGUAAAGAUCUUCGUAGAAUAUGUAGGAACCAAUAUGGGCAUCCAGGUCCCGCUAUUGGUUAUUGACCGAGAAUAGUUUUAGGUCAUGUCUACAUAGUUCUCGAACCCGUAGGGUCCGCACGCUUAACGUUACAAUGACAGUUUUAUUAUGAGUUUAUAAGUUUUGAUGUACCGAAGUUUGUUCGGAGUCCCGGAUGUGAUCACGGACAUGACGAGGAGUCUCGAAAUGGUCGAGACAUAAAGAUCGAUAUAUUGGAAGCCUAUAUUUGGACAUCGGAACCGUUCCGGGUGAAAUCGGCAUUUUACCGGAGUACCGGGAGGUUACCGGAACCCCCCGGGGGGUUAUUGGGCCUACAUGGGACUCGAGGGAGAAGAGGGAAGGAACCAGGAGGGGGCCGCGCACCCCUCCCCUUCCUAGUCCAAAUAGGACAAGGGAAGGGGGCGGCGCCCCCACUUUCCUUCCCCUCUUCCUCCUCUUUCCCCCCUUCUCCUACUCCUACUUGGAAAGAAGGGAGUCCUACUCCUGGUGGGAGUAGGACUCCCCCCUUGGCGCGCCCUCCUUGGCCGGCCGCCUCCUCCCCCCUGGCUCCUUUAUAUACGGGGAUGGGGGCCACCCCAUAGACACACAAGUUGAUCUACGGAUCGUUCCUUAGCCGUGUGUGGUGCCCCCUUCCACCAUAUUCCACCUCGGUCAUAUCGUCGCGGAGUUUAGGCGAAGCCCUGCGCCGGUAGAGCAUCAUCAUUGUCACCACGCUGUCGUGCUGACGGAACUCAUCUCCGAAGCUUUGCUAGAACGGAGCACGGAGAUCGUCAUCGAGCUGAACGUGUGCUGAACUCGGAGGCCCCGUACGUUCGGUGCUUGGAUCGGUCGGAUCGUGAAGACAUACGACUACAUCAACCGCGUUGUGCUAACGCUUCCGCUUACGGUCUACGAGGGUACGUGGACGAACACUCUCCCCUCUCGUUGCUAUGCCAUCACCAUGAUCUUGCGUGUGCGUAGGAAAAAUUUUGAAAUUACUACGUUCCCCAACAGUGGCAUCCGAGCCUAGGUUUUAUGCGUUGAUGUUAUAUGCACGAGUAGAACACAAGUGAGUUGUGGGCGAUACAAGUCAUACUGCUUACCAGCAUGUCAUACUUUGGUUCGGUGGUAUUGUGAGAUGAAGCGGCCCGGACCGACAUUACGCGUACGCUUACGCGAGACUGGUUUCACCGUUACGAGCACUCGUGCUUAAAGGUGGCUAGCGGGUGUCUGUCUCUCUCACUUUGGCUGAAUCAAGUGUGGCUACGCCCGGUCCUUGCGAAGGUUAAAACAGCACCAACUUGACGAACUAUCGUUGUGGUUUUUGAUGCGUAGGUAAGAACGGUUCUUGCUAAAGCCCGUAGCAGCCACGUAAAAUUUGCAACAACAAAGUAGAGGACGUCUAACUUGUUUUUGCAGGGCAUGUUGUGAUGUGAUAUGGUCAAGACGUGAUGCUAUAUUUUAUUGUAUGAGAUGAUCAUGUUUUGUGACCGAAGUUAUCGGCAACUGGCAGGAGCCAUAUGGUUGUCGCUUUAUUGUAUGAAAUGCAAACGCCCUGUAAUUGCUUUACUUUAUCACUAAGCGGUAGCGAUAGUCGUAGAAGCAAUAGAUGGCGUAACGACAACGAUGCUACGAUGGAGAUCAAGAUGUCGCGCCGGUGACGAUGGUGAUCACGACGGUGCUUCGGAGAUGGAGAUCACAAGCACAAGAAGAUGAUGGCCAUAUCAUAUCACUUAUAUUGAUUGCAUGUGAUGUUUAUCCUUUAUGCAUCUUAUCUUGCUUUGAUUGACGGUAGCAUUUUAAGAUGAUCUCUCACUUAAUAAUCAAGAAGUGUUCUCCCUGAGUAUGCACCGUUGCGAAAGUUCUUCGUGCUGAGACACCACGUGAUGAUCAGGUGUGAUAGGCUCUACGUUCAAAUACAACGGGUGCAAAACAGUUGCACACGCGGAAUACUCAGGUCAUACUUGACGAGCCUAGCAUAUACAGAUAUGGCCUCGGAACACGGAGACCGAAAGGUCGAGCGUGAAUCAUAUAGUAGAUAUGAUCAACAUAGUGAUGUUCACCAUCGAAACUACUCCAUCUCACGUGAUGAUCGGACAUGGUUUAGUUGAUUUGGAUCACGUGAUCACUUAGAUGACUAGAGAGAUGUCUGUCUAAGUGGGAGUUCUUAAGUAAUAUGAUUAAUUGAACUUAAAUUUAUCAUGAACUUAGUACCUGAUAGUAUUUUGCUUGUCUAUGUUUGUUUGUAGAUAGAUGGCUCGUGUUGUUGUUCCGUUGAAUUUUAAUGCGUUCUUUGAGAAAGCAAAGUUGAAAGAUGAUGGUAGAAAUUACACGGACUGGGUCCGUAACCUGAGGGUUAUCCUCAUUGCUGCACAGAAAAGUUACGUCCUGGAAGCACCGCUGGGUGCCAGGCCUGCUGCUGUUGCAACUGACGACGUUAAGAACGUCUGGCAGAGCAAAGCUGAUAACUACUCAAUAGUUCAGUGUACCAUGCUUUAUGGCUUAGAACCGGGUCUUCAACGACGUUUUGAACGUCAUGGAGCAUAUGAGAUGUUCCAGGAGUUGAAGUUAAUAUUUCAAGCAAAUGCCCGGAUUGAGAGAUAUGAAGUCUCCAAUAAGUUCUACAGCUGCAAGAUGGAGGAGAAUAGUUCUGUCAGUGAACACAUACUCAAAAUGUCUGGGUAUAAUAAUCACUUGAUUCAACUGGGAGUUAAUCUUCCUGAUGAUAGUGUCAUUGACAGAAUUCUCCAAUCACUGCCACCAAGCUACAAGAGCUUCCCGAUGAACUAUAAUAUGCAAGGGAUGAACAAGACUAUUCUCGAGCUCUUCGCAAUGCUAAAAGCUGCGGAGGUAGAAAUCAAGAAGGAGCAUCAAGUGUUGAUGGUUAACAAGACCACUAGUUUCAAGAAAAAGGGCCAAGGGAAGAAGAAGGGGAACUUCAAAAAGAACGGCAAGCAAGUUGCUGCUCAAGAGAAGAAACCCAAGUCUGGACCGAAGCCUGAAACUGAGUGCUUCUACUGCAAGCAGACUGGACACUGGAAGCGGAACUGCCCCAAGUAUUUGGCGGAUAAGAAGGAUGGCAAAGUGAACAAAGGUAUAUAUGAUAUACAUGUUAUUGAUGUGUACCUUACUAAUGCUCGCAGUAGCACCUAGGUAUUUGAUACUGGUUCUGUUGCUAAUAUUUGCAACUCGAAACAGGGACUACGGAUUAAGUGCAGAUUGGCUAAGGACGAGGUGACGAUGCGCGUGGGAAAUGGUUCCAAAGUCGAUGUGAUCGUUGUCGGCACGCUACCUCUACAUCUACCAUCGGGAUUAGUUUUAGACCUAAAUAAUUGUUAUUUGGUGCCAGCGUUGAGCAUGAACAUUAUAUCUGGAUCUUGUUUGAUGCGAGACGGUUAUUCAUUUAAAUCGGAGAAUAAUGGUUGUUCUAUUUAUAUGAGUAAUAUCUUUUAUGCUCAUGCACCCUUGAAGAGUGGUCUAUUCUUAUUGAAUCUCGAUAGUAGUGAUACACAUGUUCAUAGUGUGGAAACCAAAAGAUGCAGAGUUGAUAACGAUAGUGCAACUUAUUUGUGGCACUGCCAUUUGGGUCAUAUCGGUGUAAAGCGCAUGAAGAAACUCCAUACUGAUGGGCUUUUGGAAUCACUUGAUUAUGAAUCACUUGGUACUUGCGAACCGUGCCUCAUGGGCAAGAUGACUAAAAUGACGUUCUCUGGAACUAUGGAGCAGGCAACUGAUUUGUUGGAAAUCAUACAUACUGAUGUUUGUGGUCCAAUGAAUGUUGAGGCUCGCGGCGGGUAUCGUUAUUUUCUCACCUUCACAGAUGAUUUGAGCAGAUAUGGGUAUAUCUACUUAAUGAAACAUAAGUCUGAAACAUUUGAAAAGUUCAAAGAAUUUCAGAGUGAAGUGGAAAAUCAUCAUAACAAGAAAAUAAAGUUUCUACGAUCUGAUCGUGGAGGAGAAUAUUUGAGUUACGAGUUUGGUCUGCACUUGAAACAAUGCGGAAUAGUUUCACAACUCACGCCACCCGGAACACCACGACGAAAUGGUGUGUCCGAACGUCGUAAUCGUACUUUACUAGAUAUGGUGCGAUCUAUGAUGUCUCUUACUGAUUUACCGCUAUCGUUUUGGGGUUAUGCUUUAGAGAUGGCCGCAUUCACGUUAAAUAGGGCACCAUCAAAAUCCGUUAAGACAACGCCUUAUGAACUGUGGUUUGGCAAGAAACCAAACUUGUCGUUUCUUAAAGUUUGGGGCUGCGAUGCUUAUGUGAAGAAACUUCAACCAGAUAAGCUCGAACCCAAAUCGGAGAAAUGUAUCUUCAUAGGAUACCCAAAAGAGACUAUUGGGUACACCUUCUAUCACAGAUUUGAGGGCAAGAUUUUCGUUGCUAAAAUCGGAUCCUUUCUAGAGAAGGAGUUUCUCUCGAAAGAAGUGAGUGGGAGGAAAGUAGAACUUGAUGAGAUAACUGUAUCUACUCCCUUAUUGGAAAGUAGUUCAUCACAAGAACCGGUUCCUGUGACAACUACACCAAUUAGUGAGGAAGCUAAUGAUAUUGAUCAUGAAACUUCAGAUCAAGUUUCUACUGAACCUCGUAGGUCUACCAGAGUAAGAUCCGCACCAGAGUGGUACGGUAAUCCUAUUCUGGAAGUCAUGUUACUUGACCAUGAUGAACCUACAAACUAUGAGGAAGCGAUGAUGAGCCCAGAUUCCGCAAAAUGGCUAGAGGCCAUGAAAUCUGAGAUGGGAUCCAUGUAUGAAAACAAAGUAUGGACUUUGGUUGACUUGCCCAAUGAUCGGCAAGCCAUUGAAAAUAAAUGGAUCUUUAAGAAGAAGAUUGACGCUGAUGGUAAUGUAACUGUCUAUAACGCUCGACUUGUUGUGAAAGGUUUUCGACAAGUUCAAGGAGUUGACUACGAUGAGACUUUCUCACCCGUAGCGAUGCUUAAGUCUGUCCGAAUCAUGUUAGCUAUUGCUGCAUUUCAUGAUUAUGAAAUUUGGCAAAUGGAUGUCAAAACUGCAUUCUUGAAUGGAUUUCUGGAAGAAGAGUUCUAUAUGAUGCAGCCAGAAGGUUUUGUUGAUCCAAAAGGUGCUAACAAAGUGUGCAAGCUCCAACAUUCUAUUUAUGGACUGGUGCAAGCAUCUCGGAGUUGGAAUAAACGCUUUGAUAGUGUGAUCAAAGCAUAUGGUUUUAUACAGACUUUUGGAGAAGCCUGUAUUUACAAGAAAGUGAGUGGGAGCUCUGUAGCAUUUCUGAUAUUAUAUGUAGAUGACAUAUUAUUAAUUGGAAAUGAUAUAGAAUUUCUGGAUAGCAUAAAGGGAUACUUGAAUAAAAGUUUUUCAAUGAAAGACCUCGGUGAAGCUGCUUACAUAUUGGGAAUCAAGAUCUAUAAAGAUAGAUCAAGACGCUUAAUAGGACUUUCACAAAGCACAUACCUUGACAAAAUUUUGAAAAAGUUCAAAAUGGAUCAGGCAAAGAAAGGAUUCUUGCCUGUACUACAAGGUGUGAAGUUGAGUCAAACUCAAUGCCCGACCACAGCAGAAGAUAGAGAGAAAAUGAAAGAUGUUCCCUAUGCUUCAGCCAUAGGCUCUAUCAUGUAUGCAAUGUUGUGUACCAGACCUGACGUAUGCUUAGCAAUAAGCUUGGCAGGAAGGUACCAAAGUAAUCCAGGAGUGGAUCACUGGACAGCGGUCAAGAACAUCCUGAAAUACCUGAAAAGGACUAAGGAUAUGUUUCUCGUAUAUGGAGGUGACAAAGAGCUAGUCAUAAAUGGUUACGUCGAUGCAAGCUUUGACACUGAUCCGGACGAUUCUAAAUUGCAAACCGGAUACGUGUUUUUAUUAAAUGGUGGAGCUGUAAGUUGGUGCAGUUCUAAACAAAGCAUCGUAGCAGGAUCUACAUGUGAAGCGGAGUACAUAGCUGCUUCUAAAGCAGCAAAUGAAGGAGUCUGGAUGAAGGAGUUCAUUUCCGAUCUAGGUGUCAUACCUAGUGCAUCGGGACCAAUGAAGAUCUUCUGUGACAAUACUGGUGCAAUUGCCUUGGCAAAGGAAUCCAGAUUUCACAAGAGGACCAAGCACAUCAAGAGACGCUUCAAUUCCAUUCGGGACCAAGUCCAAGUGGGAGACAUAGAGAUUUGCAAGAUACAUACGGAUCUGAAUGUUGCAGACCCGUUGACUAAGCCUCUCUCACGAGCAAAACAUGAUCAGCACCAAGACUCCAUGGGUGUUAGAAUCAUUACUAUGUAAUCUAGAUUAUUGACUCUAGUGCAAGUGGGAGACUGAAGGAAAUAUGCCCUAGAGGCAAUAAUAAAGUUAUUAUUUAUUUCCUCAUAUCAUGAUAAAUGUUUAUUAUUCAUGCUAGAAUUGUAUUAACCGGAAACAUAAUACAUGUGUGAAUACAUAGACAAACAUAUAGUCACUAGUAUGCCUCUACUUGACUAGCUCAUUAAUCAAAGAUGGUUAUGUUUCCUAACCAUUGACAUGUGUUGUCAUUUGAUUAGUGGGAUCACAUCAUUAGAAGAAUGAAGUGAUUGACAUGACCCAUUCCGUUAGCCUAGCACUUGAUCGUUUAGUAUACUGCUAUUGCUUUCUUCAUGAGUUAUACAUGUUCCUGUAACUAUGAGAAUUAUGCAACUCCCGUUUACCGAAGGAACACUUUGGGUACUACCAAACGUCACAACGUAACUGGGUGAUUAUAAAGGAGUACUACAGUUGUCUCCGAAAGUACAUGUUGAGUUGGCGUAUUUCGAUAUUAGGUUUUGUCACUCCGAUUGUCGGAGAGGUAUCUCUGGGCCCUCUCGGUAAUGCGCAUCACUAUAAGCCUUGCAAGCAAUCUGACCAAUGAGUUGGUUACAGGAUGAUGCAUUACAUAACGAGUAAAGAGACUUGCCGGUAACGAGAUUGAACUAGGUAUUUGAUACCGACGAUCGAAUCUCGGACAAGUAACAUACCGAUGACAAAGGGAACAACGUAUGUUGUUAUGCGGUUUGACCGAUAAAGAUCUUCGUAGAAUAUGUAGGAACCAAUAUGGGCAUCCAGGUCCCGCUAUUGGUUAUUGACCGAGAAUAGUUCUAGGUCAUGUCUACAUAGUUCUCGAACCCGUAGGGUCCGCACGCUUAAUGUUACGAUGACAGUUUUAUUAUGAGUUUAUAAGUUUUGAUGUACCAAAGUUUGUUCGGAGUCCCGGAUGUGAUCACGGACAUGACGAGGAGUCUUGAAAUGGUCGAGACAUAAAGAUCGAUAUAUUGGAAGCCUAUAUUUGGACAUCGGAACCGUUCUGGGUGAAAUCGGCAUUUUACUGGAGUACAGGGAGGUUACCGGAACCCCCCGGGGGGUUAUUGGGCCUACAUGGGCCUCGAGGGAGAAGAGGGAAGGAACCAGGAGGGGGCCGCGCGCCCCUCCCCUUCUUAGUCCGAAUAGGACAAGGGAAAGGGGGCGGCGCCCCCCCCCCCCCCUUUCCUUCCCCUCUUCCUCCUCUUUCACCCCUUCUCCUACUCCUACUUGGAAAGAAGGGAGUCCUACUCCCGGUGGGAGUAGGACUCCCCCCUUGGCGCGCCCUCCUUGGCCGGCCGCCUCCUCCCCCCUGGCUCCUUUAUAUACGGGGGCGGGGGGCACCCCAUAGACACACAAGUUGAUCUACGGAUCAUUCCUUAGCCGUGUGCGGUGCCCCCUUCCACCAUAUUCCACCUCGGUCAUAUCGUCGCGGAGUUUAGGAGAAGCCCUGCGCCGGUAGAGCAUCAUCGUCGUCACCACGCCGUCGUGCUAACGGAACUCAUCUCUGGAGCUUUGCUGGAUCGGAGCACGGAGAUCGUCAUCGAGCUGAACGUGUGCUGAACUCGGAGGCCCCGUACGUUCGGUGCUUGGAUCGGUCGGAUCGUGAAGACGUACGACUACAUCAACCGCGUUGUGCUAAC